RNAcentral lists this long non-coding RNA (61621 nucleotides) under Malus domestica (apple). RNAcentral's name for it is "long non-coding RNA (MDOM_LNC006287)". The record is from RNAcentral. Lineage: Eukaryota; Viridiplantae; Streptophyta; Magnoliopsida; Rosales; Rosaceae.
UGCAAAUUAUAAUCCAGCAUUUGACCAACUUGACCACUGCAUAUUACUUUUAUGACGACUUUGCCCUUCUCUUCUCAGCAAUAAAGAAACAAGCCAGGGACAAAACCGAGAAAGCACUGAAGGCAACCGACGUAAUGUCAAGCGACAGGUGGCGCCCGGUGAUUCCCUCGACCACAAACAAGUUGGCGGUCUUCUUAGCGUCGGUAGUCUGACCGUACGCCACCUGCUGACCGGCGGCGUCGAAAGCGUAGGCGCGUACGAAGUAGGUGGCGCCCGGCACGUCGCGCUCGAUGAUCCAGUCGAAGCUGUCGUUGGACUUGCUGCUGGUGUACGGCCUUUCGACGAUCUUGACCAGGCAUGUCUUGUCCUUGGCGAGGUUGUCGACGGUCUUCCUCCACCCGCGGUCGACUUGGCUCACUUGCGCGAAGCAUAAGUUGACCUUGAUGGUCUUGAAGGUUGAGUCGGUGCCGGCUUCGUAGCUCUGGUUUAGACCCCAUGAAACGGUGAGCUUGUCUAUCCCGGCUUUCAGAACUGCAAAAAAAUUAUCAUGGAUUAAGAAUCUAAUUUUAGAUUACCUUGUUAAUUAAAAAAAAAAUUAAAGAAAACCCAGUUGGGAAGUUAGGGUUUUGGAGUCGAAAGUUAGAGACUUUUUGUGUAUGUGUUUAUGUGAGUUUUGGGAAGUGUAAAAUUUAUUAAGUGAAUUGGAAAAAUGAAGAUUUUGGACUAGAAAAUGGAAAAAUUUGCAAAAUUUGAAAAAGAGUAAUGUUAGGGAACAAAAUUUUCAAAUUAAAUGAUGUAUCAUUAGUAAGAAUAAGCAUGUUUAUUAAUGUUUAAGUAAUAAAUCAAUCAUCAACUUCCAUAAUCGUUAGUUUCCAAAACUUUAAUUACAAAUUUAAUGUCAUUAACAUUAUCCCUACUAAGAAUUAGAAAGUUAAGAAAUUUUCGGUAAUAAUUUUGACGCUUCCGUUUUCUUUAUACCGGUGGAUGGAAAAAAGUGCAAGAAAUGAGUGUGAAUAGAAAAAAAAUAGUGCAGAAAUCAAUUUUCUUUCGUAUUUCUGUUAUAUUUAAAAAAAUAUAUAUAUAAAUUAUAAAAAAAAAUCAUAAUUUACAAUGAAAAGAUUAAAAAACCCAAUUGAAAAAGAAAAAAGGGUUUUGACAAAAAGUUAAUAUAGAAAACCUUGUUGCAAAAUAAAGAGUUUGGACUAGAAAGUUGGAGAAGUAAUUUUCACACCAGCGUUUUCAUCUUUUGCACUCCUUCUAUUUUGUAUUUUGAUUGAACAAAUCGAAGACAAGAGAAGGACGAAGUGCAGAAGAAAGAAAGGAGUGCGGAAAUCAUAUCCCUAUCGAAUUUUGUUUACCUUCCCUAAUUCGGAAACUGUAAAAUUCGUGCUUACCAAGAAAAUAUAAAGAAACCCAAUUGAGGAAGCAAGAUAUUGAACUAGAAAGUUGGAAAAAGUUUUAAAUUAAAUGUCUGUGUUUACCCUGGUUCUCUGUGUGUGAAGCAGUAACAAGGAGACUAUCCUUGAGAGAAGAAAAGAGGACAAUCCCAUAGGAGGUUUGGGAAAAGCAAGAGAGCACAAGAAGUGAAGCCAACAAAAUCCCAUGCGAUGCCAUCUCGGAACUUUUACUUGCAAAUCCCCAAAAGAUUGAAACUUUAGCGAGAGAAAAACUUUAGAAUCUGAUUCUGGAGGGGAUGCUAUGAACUGGCACUUGCGUCCCCUUAUAUAUAAGUCCCAAAAUUCAAAUUUGGGUUUUUGCAGAAGAGGUCAAAAGGGCCAAAUUAGGGAUUCAAAACAUGCAGAUAAUUUAGGGAAAAAUAGUUUAAUAUUUGAUGGGAGUGUUUAAGUGGCCCUAAAGUGCACCGAAAGGGUGGGGUUAUGAGUUUUCUUGUAUAUUUGUUUUUUACUUCUGAAAAAAAAAAUAUUAUCUAUAUUAAGAGGAUAGAAGAGUGUUUAUAAUAAGCUAUUAACAAUAUGGUUUAAAUUCGUUUUUUACAAUGAUCGAAUUUAAGAACUCUUAGGUACAAGUGAAAAAGAAUAUCAUUAGAUCGUAGUAAUAAGAACCAAUAUUUUGGUGUUAGAAGUAUUAAAAAUUCAAGGUUUCUGUGCCGGAUGUGUAUGGUUUUUCUUUAUGAGUAAUGUUAGAGAGAUCAAAUUUUUUAAAUCAAGUUGCAAACUAAAUGAUGUGUCACCAAUAAGAAAUAAAUACGUUAAUCGACAUUUAAUUAAUAAUUCAAACAUCUAUAACCACAUUAUUUAGUUUGUAAAUUUAGUUUAAAAAUUUUGAUCUUUCUAGUUUUACUCUUUGUUUAUUAGUUGACUUUAUGAGGUUGAAUUUUUUAAUGUGUUCCUAGUUGUGUGGGUGUUGGGCGGGGUGGGGGAAGAGGUGAGAAGAAAAGACAUGCAAUACAUGGUGGCCCAAUGUGUUCAUUCAUUUUUUUUUUGUCCUUUAUGUCUUGUAAAGGGCAAACAACACGAGUCACCAAGUAAGUGGGAGACAAGAGUUGAGAUUCAUAAAUAAAAAAUGCUCCUCAUCCGAUAUUUUGUUUUUGGACAACUCCUCUUACGAUAUAUUUGUAUCAUCUUUUAUACUAUGUUUUAAAUAAAGAUGAGUCUUAUAUAUAUUGAUAGAUCUUAUCUUUAUUAGAGAGAUAAUACGAAUAACUGCAUAAAUGUGUGGUAAAUGUAACAUUACUAUUAAGAAAUGAUAAAUCCACAUUUUUCUACUUAAUUUUGUUACUUUUGGUUGAUAUAUGCAAUUAAAUUUAAGAAAUAAAUAGAAUUAUGUUGAGAAUGAAUCUCAUAUUUAUAAGAGUUGAGACUUUGCACGUGCUUAUAAGUAGGUGAGCUAUUCUCUACAUAGGCAAUUGGUUUUAUGGUGAGACUUCAAUUUCUUCAUAGUAUAAGAGUAAGUUGUCCCAUGUGUGAAGCCCAAUGGCCCCACGUGCUCCACAUCAUCCAAGUUAUGUUGUGCAAGUGUUAGGUUUAAAAAUUCGCCACACGUGAUAAGACGUGUUAAGAAUGAAUCUCACAUUAAUGAGAGGAAAGACCUUUCAUGUGCUUAUAAAUCAUUAAGCUACUCAACAUACUCUCCUUAUUACCAAUUAAUUGUAUACACGUGUGAAGCUCAAUGACCCUACGUGCUUCACGUCACCCGAGUUGUGUUGUGCAAGUGUUAGGUUUGAAAAUUCGUCACAUGUAAUGAGCCGUGUUAAGAAUGAAUACAACAUUGAUGAAAGGAAAGACUUUUCAUGUGCUUAUAAGUCGUUAAGCUACUCAACCUACUUCCUCUAUUACUAAUUGAUUUUAUAAUGAAACCUCAAUUUUCUUACUGUUUUCCCAAUAAAAAAUUGUUAUGGUUUGCACGGUGAUCUCAUAAACUCCAUUCAUAUAAAUACUAAUUUUAAAAUUUUCUGAUUCAUGAUUGCUAAAUUGAAAUUUUAUAGUGCGCAUACACGUUUAAGUGGCAGAAAGCCUCCAAUUUCAUAUUCAAACCAACUCUUUUGCUCUCAAAAUUGUGCAACCAAGAGACUCAGAAGAUGUUAUGCACAAAUUAUUGAAAAAAUUAGACAACUGUGUACUUUUCUCAAUCCAAUGUCAACGAAAAUGCUUCAUGAUUUCCCAAAGUAAUUUAAGAGAUUAUAUCCAUGAUCAAACUUCAGUACAGCUUAUGCAAGCAUAAGAGAAGAUUAACAUUUUUUUUUCUUUAAUUAGAUUCUAAAAUCAAUGAGAAGGAUUAGAAUAAUGAAGAUUAUUUUUAAUAAUUGUAAUUAAUUUGGGUCAUUUUUAGGUGAAUUAAAGAAUGACCCUUCAGCAUACUCAAAAAAAGAAAAGAAAAAAAAAAGAAUGACCCUUCAUAGAGUUGACGGGGCUAGUCACUCGUGAUUAAUUGUUAUCUUCAUUUAUGAAAAAAGUGAAAUAAACACUAUAAAAUGAUAUUUAUAGACAAACUAUUUUAUUCAUAACAGAGACGUGAAAGUUGAAAACAAGGCUUAACUAAACACAAUAAUGAAAACAAAAAUAUGUUGUUAUUUCAGAAAACAAAAAUAAUAUAUGAUUCAUAUAAGAAUUGCCACAAAAAUGGAGCAGGUGUUUCUUGAAGCCAGCCCCAAUCAAGCAGGUGUUUGCGUUAAGUAGUGCAAGUUUGGACGUGUUUUGAUGGUUUUGUCACAAACUCAGUGGCUUGAAGUAUUCCGGAUUUAGCAUGUGGAAUAUGUACGGUCAAAUCGUAGCUGCAGGAGCGGUUUCUAUAGGAUAAUAUUCAGUUCUGUAAGCCGAACUUGCAGGCCUUAAACAUGGUUUUCUUUGGCCAUCAAGUUGGGUCUUGAUCGUGUUCUGGCGGAAGAAGGUGGAAGGAUGUUUGUGGUGAUGUUAUUAUCAACAUAAUUAACGGGGAAGUACAAUUUCCUUAAGGUGCGUUUGUUGCACUGGACUAUUUUAGACUAGACUAACUUGAGAGAGCUGGACUGACUUAGAAUAGACUAAGCUGGACUAGCUUAGUGAAACAUUUGGUGCACUGUAGGACUAAAAAGCAGGAUAAAUAAUAUUAUAUUAUUUAAUUAAUAAAUAUUAAUAUUUUAUUAUUAUCCUUUUUUCCCUCUUUUCCUUCCUUCACCAUCACUCUCUCCCUCUUUCUCUCCCUCUUUUUCUCCCUUCUUUGUCCCACCCUUCCUUCUCCCAUAUUAGACAUCUCAAUUCCAGUCUCUAUCUCUCCCUUUGUUCUGUCCAACUCCCUCUCGAUUCCAAUCUCUCUCUCCUUUCUCCCUCGCUCUAGCUCUAUGUUAUUCGACGAAACCUCACAUCUCCAUUUUUUCUGACGAGUUGCAGGUUUUCCAUCGUGUUUUCCGACCAAAACCUCGUCGAAUUGGAUGAGGUUAGUCUCCUUGCUCCUUGAGUCCAUGGAUGUGGAUGGAAGAACUUUGCUUCUUGGCUACAUGACUUCUUGGAUGGAUGAAGGAAUGGAUUCUCCAAGUUCCCAAAAUAGGGAACCUCUAAGUCUCCACACCAAGGAGGGCAUUGAGGAAGAGAUGAGUGACCUAGAGGAAGAAAAAUUGCUAGCUAUUUUCCUCUAGGGUGGCCGGCCUCCUAAGAGAAGAGAGAGCUUUGUGUUCUUAUAUUUUCUCUCUAGAAAAUCCUAAUGAACUUUUGGCUAUCAAGUCCUCUAUAUAGUCACUUCACUUAAGUGACAAAAAGAACCAAAACCCAUUCAUUUACAAUGGCUGACCUUCUGAAGGCUUUGGGCUGUUUAGGCCCUUUUGAGUCUUUAGUAAUUAAGUUGUCAUACAACUUAAGUUAAUGGGCUUGACGGUUCUUAGCCCAAUGGGCCUUGAGGUCAAAUAAUUACUCAAAAGCUAAAACGAACUUAUUCGUUUGAUUAAUUAAUCCUAAUCAUAAAUAAUUAAACCAUUUAAUUAUCCUUACUUAUCUCCGUUGUUUCUUCAAUCUUUAUCUUACAUGGUGUAUGAUCCAUUAUGUUCCUUUUAGCGAGGUAAUGGGCGAUUAGAACUCUUCAAAUUGAUUUUGAAUUGGAACAUACUUUCAAUUCUCCCUUUAGUGAUUAUACACAUUUAGGGCUUCCACAAACCAUGAGUGACACCUAGCAGUAUAUCAUGGUUACCCAAGCUAAUCAGAAGAGGUGGAGAACCUAUUCAAUUUAGGAUUACAAUGCAAUACGGUUUUUCUCUAAUACAAUACUCUUAACCACAUUGUUUGGUUUGAUAGUUUAUUCAUGUAUAGUAUCCAAUGUGAUUCUUUUACUUAUACAAUUACCUUGAAUAUGAUUUGGAAUGACUUCCUAAAUCUCAUUCAUACUCUGGCUAGAGAUUCUUAAUCAUAUCAUGAAGUAUUCUCCCUCAAACGGUUUGAAAGUUAAAGAUCCCUUGUUGUGCAUUCACUUGCCUGCAUGACUAAGUGGCUUAACCCCAACUAUACCGUGGACACCAUUUGACGGAGUGACUUUGACAUAGUCAAAGAUCAAGGACCUAACCACAAGACAACUAUGAUGCCUCAGGUCAAAUGACUACUUUGCAUUAUCCCAACCAUGAGUUUUCAUGUGACAUGAGUAUGAGAACUCCUUGUUGAUCGCGUUCAGUGGACUCAUUCUUUAUUGAGCACCUACAUGCUUGUCUUGGUGUUAGUCACAACAAUGACUCUAGACUAGUCACUCUUUCUAAAAGAAGACAUUGCACGUACUGAUCUUAACAGAUUAUUAAUGCCCAAUUGGCAAUCCUAUGAUCAGGAAUGUUUAGGAUAUGCAUACGAAAGAGAAUGGUCUCAUGAAUCUAACUUAUUUAGAUCACAUUCUCCUAAUUACAUAUUCCAUGGACUUAUCGUUUAAGCAUAUGACAUAUAUAUGAGCCGGCUUUAAACAAUAAUUUUUGCCCUUUAAAUUAAACUAGAUUAGUUUAACAUGUGAAAUGUCCGUAAAGUAACAUCAUAUGAUUGGCUUUAGAGCACAUUUCCAAUAGGUCUUAGCUAGUCUCAUGGUUAUCGAGGGUACUCGCUAAGACCGGAUAGUCCUGCCUUUAGUCGAGGCAAGUGAGAGCUAAUAUCACUAAAGCUAAUCCUUGCUGGGAACAAACAUGGGACUGGACUAACCUUUAAUUUUGUCCAGUCUAGUGAACUUUAACGAAGGCAAACAAACGCCCCCUUAAAGAAUUAGGUCAACCAUUUAAUAUAUCAUUAUCGCAAGACCAAGUUUUCACAACUAUCAUUCACGCAUAUAUUCUAAGAAGUCAAUGUAAAAGCUAAUGUUGUGGUUGAAAUAAGAUAACAAUGUCAUGUAAGCAAAAGUUGACCGACAAAAUGCUUUAUCAAAAGGCAAAUAUUAAUGGGAACUGUUAUAAGCACUCUAAAAAUCUCAUUCUACACUCCUCAUAACUGUAUUUUUCUUUCUAAUUAUAGAAAGUUUGGAGUGCCAAAUGAGAUUUUUGAAGUGCUAAUAACAAUUCUUGACACACCCCGUCCUGAAGGAGGGCGUGCUGGCCGUCACGUGAGUGUGACGUAACCAUUUACACAGUUCGGAAGCUUUAAAAAAAUACAAUUACUAUGAUGAAACACCCGAGGGUGAGUCCUACUUUUGUAACUUCUGUCAGAACACCGCUGGAUUCCUCGUAGCCACCAAAGCUCUGCAACUAGAACCUGGAGGGGUGCAAAACAAAAUUGAGUGGGUCAGUACAACAAGGUUUUUCGAAAACAUUUCAUUUAAAAUAUUUCUAACCCCUCGCUGUAAAACCUGUAUACUUUCCCAGAAAAUAACAUAAUAAUAUAUAAACAUAUAUAUAUCAUCAAAAGCUCAAAUUACAAUCCUUCAACGCUUUCCAGAAAGAAUAUGUCAUGCCAUGUCAUAUGCCAAAAUAUAAUAUAAAUGCAUCAAUAUAAAACAGGCGAAAUAAUAAAUCAACCGGAGACCCUACAAUGGUCCUGUACGGCUGAUUCUAUAGCUCAAUAUCCCAUCCAGCCGGAGUCACCAACUGUGACCUGUACGGCCCUGCCGGAGUCACCACUGUGACCUGUACGGCACUACACUGCACAUAAGUCGGAACUACCUAUAGUAGUCUGUACGACUAAUAUGGUAAAAUAAUACGCUCUAGUGUUUCUCUCAUCAAUCAUCUGUGCACAUAAUCUAAGGUCACCUACCAGUCGGAACCCCUCUAAUGGUCUGUACGACUGGCAUGUCGGAACCAUCUCUAGUGGUCUGUACGACUAGCAUCUACUUAGAUCCAAGGUGAGCGUGUGAUGCAGGGUGACUAACAUAAGCACUAACACCAGAGGUGCAGGUUAUGAGCUCUCAACAUAAUUCACAUCAUCAUUCAUUCAUGUAAACCAUAUAAACUCACAUGAUACUCACAUGUGCGUCCACAGCACCAAUUCACAUAUAUAUAUAUGCAUCAAUAUCAAUUCAUAUAAUUUUUUUAUAUGCAUCAUGGCAAUUGAAAACAUACUUUCAUAUAAAUUCAAUUUUUGGGACAAUUAAUAGUAUAUAGGUAAUACGAAAAAAAAAAAAACUGCCCACUCACCUGGAGUUCGCCCAACAGCUCCAUAGCACCACACAUCAAGGCGUCAAGACGAUCAACGCCUAGAACAAUAAUCAAAUCCAACCUCAGAAUUCAUAUCGAUGGAAUAUAUAACUUAUAUAAAACACGUCACUACGUAGUUCAGUCCGGACGAUUUGCAACUCAGAUUUCAAAUCCAUAACUUCCAGAGGUCCACAAUAUACCUCUAGGACAUCAUCCUAAAAUUUCAUUACCAUCCAAUGGUCGGAUCUCCGUCAAUUUCGGAAACCAAGUGACGGUUAACAUUUUAUUUUAUGAACUUACAACUCCAAUUCUGAAAGAUCCGUAAAUCGGAUUCCCGAUCCGUAAAUCGGAUUCCUGAUCCGUAAGUUCCUAUAAUCCUAAAAUAUUACGUAUUACAACGUAUCAAAGUUUGGUGACGAUCCAACGGUCGGAUCGUCAAUUCACAUUUUCACCUAACCAUGAAUCGAAACGAACUUAGGUUCAAUUACUCAAUUUACGUCCAUCAAUUAUUAAAACUGAACCUAGAACCUUAAACACAUGCUAAAAAUGACAUUGGCGGGCCAUUGGCCACGCGCCGCCGCACGGGCCGCCACGGGUGGCGGUCGGUCGCCCCGGUUCGCCGGAAAAUCCAACUAUUUCCAAAAAUUCUCAAAAAAAAUACAGAAUUAAAGAUCUCAAUGAGUAGAGCAACUUUCAUACCUGUGGCCAAGGCCAAUUUGGCCUGGAAACACUUCAAAUUCAUCAAAUUCCGUGCGGACCCUAGAAUUGGGUGAGCUUCAAUUCGACCUCUAAACUUGUUCCAACGCCUCUACUACUUCUUGGGCUUUGUUCUAGGUCCUAAAGGAAUGCUAAUGGUGUUAGUAAUUGAAAGAAAAUAUUUCAAGAUUUGAAGAAUUUAGACAAGAAAGUCGCGGCACCCGUGUGGGUGUUCUUCGCGAAAUCAUCAUGAAAUUCAUUGAUUUUUGGGGUGAAAUGUGAAGAGGGAAGGCCUAGGUGUUAAUUGGGAGUGGUACCUUGAUCCAAUUCUUCGGAAAAUUGAACGAGAACGGCGAGAACCCGCCGAUUUGAAGGCACGGGUUGCACGGGUCAAGGAUGACCCGUUUCCUCCUUUUCCCCCGUUCACCACUCUCCCUCUUUUCCCUCAUUUCCAUCCUCUGGUUGGUCAGCUUCUCCCUCUCUCUUCUCCUGAUUCGCUGGACUCCCUCAUUUCUCUCCCGGAGCUCCGGCUCUCUCUUCUUUUGGUUAGGCAGUUUCUGCCCAAUCCUCAAUCUUCUUCUUCUUCUUCUUCUUCUUCUUACGCGCACACACACACCAAAAACCUUAUUUCAUUUAAAUUUAUUUAUUUUUGUUUUUCCUUACAUCCAAGCCAUCCAUUUAAUCUUCAUUAAAUCUGGGCCAUCCAAAUUUUAAUAAUAAAAUUUAUAAAAUGCUCAAACUUCAAACUUUAAAAUCUUUUUCGUUAUAACUCCAAAUAACGAACCGUCUACGCCCACGCGUCCGUAGCGACGAGUACUUCGAGGAUAUGUCAAGAAAACAAAUCUUAGAUGGCACAACAUGAUGAUUAACCUCGAAUAAUACACGUACCUCAAAGGACACUUUUGUAAAAUCCUUUAUUAAAACUUUAAAAAUUCUUAAAAUUAGGGACGGGCUGUCACAAUUCUCAUAUUAAUUUUGAUAGUUAUAAUAGUUUCUUUUUAUAACCACAAUUUUUCAAUGUAGAAACAAAUGUUUUUAAUAAAUUGAAGUACACAAUUCCUCUUAAGAUUGUUCUCUCCUCUUGUGAGAAUCUUUCUCACCGUUGUGUGAGUGAUCUUCACUUUCGUAGAUCCGCGUUGCUACCAGCCUUAGUUGUGGCUAAGGUCGGUGACAAUCCCAUGAUUUGUCUUUGUUUUCAUAUUUUCCUCGCUCUUCAUGUUGCCUGCAAUUUUUCUUGUUCUUGCCCUUCACCAUUUCAUCCUUUCUAUCAUCUCUCUGCCUUUGAUUUUACCAUUUCUAGUCCUAAUCCCAAAUCCUCCUUGUCCUCUAUCCUCCAUGAUCCAUUCCCCUCCAUCAUCUCCAUCAUUUGGCUCUAGCAUCUCUCUGCCAUCCCCAAUUCCAUUUAGGUGCCGCCUAUUUUCGCCGCGAUUUGUUGCAAAUGUAUGAAAGUCUGUGUAGAGCUUGGGCUCAGGAAUUUGCAACACCACCUUUGUUGUACAUGAGAUCUUUCUUCCCCUGUACUUCUUUGAUUUCAGGAGGCCUAUAUUAUUAGAGUUUUUAUGUGUUGUUUUUUUUGGGCUGGGCUCCAAGGCUAGCUUUGGGUUUUGUCUUCUAUGUUUUUGCGCCCAUUUUAUCUUUUGUGCUUAACCUGUAUUUGAGACUCUAUUGUACUUAUUCCUUGUUGGUAAUGAAUUUUAUCUUUGUCCAAAAAAAAAUUCCUCAUAAUAAUUUGAAGUAUGUACCAAUUCCAAUUUUGGGAUUUGACUAUAAUACUUAUAUGUAUUCAGUACAAUCACCCUCUGAAGGUCAAAUAUGUUCAUGUAAAUAUAUGUAUUUAAUACAAUUACCAUCUAACUGAGAUAAUAAUUGUAUUAAAUACAUGUAAGCCGGACAUUGUAUAUUUGAGAAAGUUUAUGUAUAGUUUCCGCAAAAGUUUAUUUUGGGAGUAGCUUAUAUCCGUAUAUGGUUUUUCCACCGUGAAAUCAGACCCCUCUGUCCAGUCUCUUACAUUAUUGAUAUGCUCAUCCCCCGAAAUCUUCAUUUCUCAUCUGAAGGCAGAUUAGAGAAAUCAACAUUCUAAGUGGUCAAAAAUGUUGCCCAAGGUGUUUAUAGGUCUCGAGUCAAUCAGUGAUAUGCCUUCAGCUUUGUGACUGAGAGCUUUGGCAUGUGCUCGGGAUCUAGAUGAAAGACUCGGGAUCCAGAUGAUAGUUGGUUUAACCUCUCCCUUGGUAGGUAAACUUAAAUUGGAAGGAAAGCAACUCAAUGCUUUUCUUUUCUUUUUUUUUUUAUUAUUUUUUUUAUGGCAAGAAUGCUACUAGAUUAAUGGCAGAUUUAUCAUGUGAGUGUCAUUGAAGUUUUAUUUUGAAUCUAAACAGGUUUUUGUCAAUUGUUAUUUUCAAAGGUUGUGACAGUUUGCUGGCCUAGCAGAAAUUUUUGUGAUCAUAAAACCGUCAUGUGAUAUUACUAUUGUGAAUGUUACGCAAUGAAAAAAGUUUGUAAAAGAUUGUUGAUCGGCCUUUGCAGCCACCAAAAUAAUAUAUGUAAAAAGUUGCUGAUCAACGAUAAUAGGUAGCUUGCAAUUUUUUUUUAAUGUAUCCUAUUAAAUGGAUUUGAGAGCUGCGAUAUUACUUAAUUAUUUUAACAAUUUACAUUAGCAGCUUUUAAUUUUUCACAUUGUAACCGAGAAGCAUGUAUAUCAUGAAAAAUAAAAGAAGUUCUAAAGUGACGAUCGAAGAAUUUAAAAGUGUUGGUUGGUGUAUGUGUGCAAAUAUAACUGUAAACAGGAAUACAAAUCCAUGAUUGAACCCCUACUUUGGUUGUAACAUGAACACCUUAGGUUUUAUGGAAUGCUUUUAAAGAUCAUAAGAGUAAACUAACAGAUUGGUCGAUUCAUAGAUUGAGGCAAGAGACACGGGUUUCGGACAACCAAUUCGGGUUCAUGCCAGGCCGCUCAACCAUGGAGGCAAUCUAUCUCUUACGAAGAUUGAUGGAAAAAUAUAGAGAUGGGAAAAAUGAUUUACACAUGGUCUUUAUAGAUUUGGAAAAAGCGUAUGAUAGGGUCCCAAGAGACAUUCUUUGGAGGAUUUUAGAGAAGAAAGGAGUACGAGUAGCAUAUAUCCAAGCUAUAAAGGAUAUGUAUGAAGGAGCAAAGACUGCCGUAAGAACUCAUGAAGGACAAACCGAAAGCUUUCCCAUAACUGUAGGAUUACAUCAAGGCUCAUCCUUAAGUCCUUACCUUUUUGCGUUGGUAAUGGAUGAGUUAACAGGACAUAUUCAAGAUGAUAUUCCUUGGUGUAUGCUUUUCGCAGACGAUAUAGUGUUGAUAGAUGAAACUCAGGAAGGGGUAAAUGCAAAGCUUAACCUUUGGAGAGAAGUGUUGGAAUCUAAAGGUCUUCGCCUAAGCCGAUCAAAGACAGAAUAUAUGGAGUGUAAGUUCAGUGCAAAUGGAGGCCAAAACGAGUUAGGGGUGAGGAUCGGAGAUCAAGAAAUACCAAAGAGCGACCGUUUUCGUUACCUAGGAUCUAUCUUGCAAAAGAACGGAGAAUUAGAUGGAGAUCUCAACCACAGAAUACAAGCUGGAUGGAUGAAGUGGAAGAGUGCAUCCGGCGUGUUGUGUGACCGACGUAUGCCACUGAAGCUCAAGGGAAAAUUUUAUAGGACGGCAAUAAGGCCGGCGAUGCUGUAUGGCACAGAAUGUUGGGCGGUGAAACAUCAACACGUACACAAAAUGGGUGUAGCGGAGAUGAGGAUGCUUCGUUGGAUGUGUGGGCACACGAGAAAGGAUAAGAUUAGGAAUGAGGAUAUCCGGGGUAAAGUAGGAGUAGCCGAAAUUGAAGGAAAGAUGAGAGAAAAUCGGUUACGGUGGUUUGGACAUGUGCAAAGAAGGCCCACUGACGCUCCGAUUAGAAAAUGCGACUAUGGGACAGAGGUUCAAGGCCGAAGGGGUAGAGGAAGACCUAGGAAAACUUUGGAAGAGACUCUAAGAAAAGACUUAGAGUACUUAGAUCUAACGAAGGACAUGACUCAGGAUCGAGCACAAUGGCGUUCUAAGAUUCAUAUAGCCGAUCCCACUCAGUGACUUGGAUUUUCCAAGUCUCCAACCGAGAAGUUUUCCUCACUCGGGAAAUUAAGGGAACACUACCCCAACCUACAUGCUCCACUCAGAAAGCUUCAACAUACAAGCUUCAACAAAAGAAAAUUCAAAGAACUUAGCGAAGAAGGCUUUGGUGUAUUUAACACAAUACGUUGAAAUGAAGGAAAGCUUAUUUAUUGAUAUCCCCAAUAAGCUACAAAUAUGUACAUAUACAUGAGUCAAAAUAAACACACAAGAGGGAGCCUUCACAAAGGUUGCUUAGGAGAAGUCUCAGCAGUCGGUAGAGCCCCAGAAAGAGAAGGCACCGGAGGGGGAUCAUUUGGAGCCUCAGUACUGGACAAAACCCUAGAAGGAGGAGGCAUCAGAGGUUGAUCAUUCGGAGCUUCAUUACGCGGUACAGCCCCAGAAGACGAAGGCAAUAAAUGCCUUUGGAACAAACCCACAAAUCUCUGAUGAUCAAGUAAAACCUGACCAUCAGUUUCCUUCAUCUGGUCAAGCUUCCUCUUCAUGUUUGUAGCAUAGUCAUGUGCGAGCCGGUGCAACUGUUUAUUCUCAUGCUUGAGCCCUCUAAUCUCCUGUUUGAGACUCAUCACUUCAGCCGCCAAUGAUUCAACUUGGCGGGUUCGAGCAAAUAGGCGUUGGGCCAUAUUAGACACAGAACCUGCACACUGAACACUGAGAGCCAGCGAAUCCUUAACAGCUAACUCAUCAGACCGUUUGGAAAGUAGUCUGUUAUCUUUGGGGGUGAGAAGGUUCCUGGCCACCACCGCAGCGGUCAUAUCAUUCUUCAUCACAAAAUCCCCAACGGUAAGAGGACCAGUAGGGGAGACGAAGGAUGGGCGCCAUAUGUUGUCUGGAGAAGACGGGGCUGCCUCUUCAACAAGGUUCAAGUCAAAACGACGGUCGGAGGGGCCAGAAAUUUUCAAAGGUGUUGAAGAGAGAAGAGGUCGGACAAAUCAAGAUCUUAGAAGUGCAAGAAUGAAGCUUCUACUGGUGGAGAUUCAAGUGUGCUUUGGAACUUAAUGCCAGCCCCUAUAAAAAUCUGCACUCGACGGAGCUUCAGAAAUCGAAGAGGCGCCUGCUCAGAAAUCGAAGAGGCGUUUGCUUUCUCAAAAGCUGGGUUGCUUAGAGAUCACGAGGGUUGAUCUCAGAAAUCGAAGAGGCGUUUGCUUUCUCAAAAGUUGGGCUGCUCUAAGACCACGAAGGUCGAUCUCAGAAAUCGAAGAGGCGCUCGCUUUCUCAAAAGCUGGGCUGCUCAGAGACCACGAGGGCCGAUCUCAGAAAUCGAAGAGGCACCUACUUUUCCAGCCUUGUCAGCACCUGUCACACGCACACUCAGCUUUGCGGAAAUUAUGGGCAUUCUGUCGAAGACUUCUGGGGAAGUAGAAAACUCAUGAAUCUUACUGUUCAAUCACCCACUUCGCACACGCAACAAUAGCUCAUGGGUACCACAGAUAACUUUGCCAAAGUUUUCUGCCAAAGUUGAGCACGUGAAGCUUGCAGCUCCCACUACAUCGCUCUGACCAAGAAGGGUAAAAGAAUAGCAAAGAAACAACACUAACAAAGUUUAGACCCAUAAAUUUUGAAGGUCUAGCUACCAUAUUAUUACCCACAAGGGUAAAGGAACAGUACCACUGCUGGAUAAUUGGAAAGUCCCUGUGUGUCAACCUCUGUGCUUCGUGGCAAGGUAGACUAGCAAACAUGCCCAACCUUUACUCACAUUCGAGAAAACACUCCCAAUAAGAUUGCUUGCUCCAAAAUCGAAGAGGCACCGUCCUCCGAAUCUCGAGAGCCAGACUCCCAACAUGACUACUUUCUUAAAAAUCGAAGAGAGAGGGUAAAGGAACAGUACCAUUGCUGGAUAAUUGGAAAGUCCCUGUGUGUCAACCUCUGUGCUUCGUGGCAAGGUAGACUAGCAAACAUGCCCAACCUUUACUCACAUUCGAGAAAACACUCCCAACAAGAUUGCUUGCUCCAAAAUCGAAGAGGCACCGCCCUCCGAAUCUCGAGAGCCAGACUCCCAACAUGAUUACUUUCUCAAAAAUCGAAGAGACACUGCUCCCCGAAUCUUCGAGAGCCAGAGCCCCAGCAUGAUUGCUUUCUCAAAAAUCGAUAAGGCAUCGUUCUCCAAAGCAAUCGAAGAGGCGCUCGCUUUCUCAAAAGCUGGGCUGCUCAGAGACCACGAGGGCCGAUCUCAGAAAUCGAAGAGGCACCUACUAUUCUAGCCUUGUCAGCACCUGUCACACGCACACUCAGCUUUGCAGAAAUUAUGGGCAUUCUGUCGAAGACUUCUGGUGAAGUAGAAAGCACAUGAAUCUUACUGUUCAAUCACCCACUUCCCACACGCAACAAUAGCUCAUGGGUACCACAGAUAACUUUGCCAAAGUUAUCUGCCAAAGUUGAGCACGUGAAGCUUGCAGCUCCCACUACAUCGCUCUGACCAAGAAAGGUAAAAGAAUAGCAAAGAAACAGCACUAACAAAGUUUAGACACAUAAAUUUUGAAGGUCUAGCUACCAUAUUAUUACCCACAAGGGUAAAGGAACAGUACCAUUGCUGGAUAAUUGGAAAGUUCCUGUGUGUCAACCUCUGUGCUUCGUGGCAAGGUAGACUAGCAAACAUGCCCAACCUUUACUCACAUUCGAGAAAACACUCCCAACAAAAUUGCUUGCUCCAAAAUCGAAGAGGCACCGUCCUCCGAAUCUCGAGAGCCAGACUCCCAACAUGACUACUUUCUCAAAAGCGAAGAGAGGGUAAAGGAACAGUACCAUUGCUAGAUAAUUGGAAAGUUCCUGUGUGUCAACCUUUGUGCUUCGGGGCAAGGUAGACUAGCAAACAUGCCCAACCUUUACUCACAUUCGAGACAACACUCCCAACAGGAUUGCUUGCUCCAAAAUCGAAGAGGCACCGCCCUCCGAAUCUCGAGAGCCAGACUCCCAAUAUGAUUACUUCCUCAAAAAUCGAAGAGACACUGCUUUCCGAAUCUCGAGAGCCAGACCCCCAGCAUGAUUGCUUUCUCAAAAAUCGAAGAGGCAUCGUUCUCCAAAUCUCGAGAGCCAGAUACCACAGACCAUUUUUUCAAAGUGAUCUCACAGAGUUAAAACAUGUGAAACUGGCAGCUCCCACUACCGUGCUAUGACCAAGCAGGGUAAAUGAAUAGCAUUACUACUUGUUGUUAGGGAGACUCCUAUAUAUGUCGACCUCCAUCCCCAACGGACAGGCAGACCUGCAAAAAUGCUCAACCCUUCAUCAUAUCUGAGAGGGCACUCCCAACGAAGCCUUUCGAAAUAUUCAGCUUUCUUUCCCCCCGAUAAUACCUCUGCAAACAAGCUAUACUAGAGCAAGAAUAUCUCAUAUCAUCAGGGUUAAAAGUAAGAGUAUCUCAUAUCAUGCUUUUUCCCUGUCUUUUCCUUUGGCCUUGUUUUUUACCUGCAAGACAAGGAGAAAGAGAGCAAUCAGUCAGCACUUGGAAUCAAGCUUCCAGCCAGGAACUGACUGCCUGGAACCCCUUACCUGAUUACUUACCUGGCAUUGCUCUCGAGUACUCAUCUUCAACAUCUUAUGUUUCCAGGGAAGAUUCCGCAUCUGCUUGAGGAACAGAUAGGGCAAGUGCGAAGGAUACAAGGAAGCAUGUGGAGACGAGCGUAACAGCACACGUGCCGAUACAUCCAUUACUCUGUCAAAAGCAAAAGUAUCCCAUAUCAGCAGGGUGGAACGUACUCUAGAUUUGAUGGACUUGUUUUGACCCUCAAAUUCUUCAGUCGGCCUUAUACUCUGGAGGAAACCAGAAAACCCUCCAGCUCAGUUCAAGAAUAAGCCUGUGGAAAGUUACUUCUUCAAAAGCAAAAGUAUCUCAUAUCAUCUCUUCUCAUUUUUCUUCUCUUUAUCCUUCAUGCUGCUGCAAGAUGGGGAGAAGGUGAACAAUCGGUCGGAGCUCUGAUUGCUUACCUUGUCUGUCACCUCUUUCAGCAGACCCCCUAGCUCGGCGACUUGGGGGACUCCUACUACAUGGUUUGUAUCGCGCUUGACCAAGCCUUGAAACUACAAGUAAGCUUCAAGUGAAAUUGAUACAUUACCUUGUGCAUCUCCACCAGUUAAAGAUACCACCCCUGGAUGGAAGAAGAGUACUUCCAGAGAAGAUGCCACAUCUACCUAUGAGACAGAUAAGGCAAGUCAAGACGACACCACACUCCGAUACUUAGAAGUUUCGUGAUUACGAGAUCAUUCUCCCACAAUAUUUCCUAAUGUCAUUUGUACUAAAUCAUUCACUUGUACUCACUAAAGGAGAGCUUGAACCUAUGUACUUGUGUAAACCCUUCACAAUUAAUGAGAACUCUUCUAUUCCGUGGACGUAGCCAAUCUGGGUGAACCACAUACAUCUUGUGUUUGCUUUCUUAUCUCUAUCCAUUUAUGUACUUAUCCACACUAAUGACCGGAGCAAUCUAGCGAAGAUCACAAAAAGCGACCGUUUUCGCUACCUAGGAUCUAUCUUGCAAGAGAACGGAGAAUUAGAUGGAGAUCUCAACCAUAGAAUACGAGCUGGAUGGAUGAAGUGUAAGAGUGCAUCCGGCGUGUUGUGUGACCGUCGUAGGCCACUGAAGCUCAAGGGAAAAUUUUAUAGGACGGCAAUAAGGCCAGCGAUGUUGUAUGGCACAGAAUGUUGGGCGGUGAAGCAUCAACACGUACACAAAAUGGGUGUAGCGGAGAUGAGGAUGCUUUGUGGGAUGUGUGGGCACACGAGAAAGGAUAAGAUUGGGAAUGAGGAUAUCCGAGGUAAAGUAGGAGUAGCCGAAAUUGUAGGAAAGAUGAGAGAAAAUCGGCUCCGGUGAUUUGGACAUGUGCAAAGAAGGCCGACUGACGCUCCGGUUCGAAGAUGUGACUACGGGACAGAGGUUCAGGGCCGAAGGGGUAGAGGAAGACCUAGGAAAACUUUGGAAGAGACUCUAAGAAAAGACUUAGAGUACUUGGAUCUAACGGAGGACAUGACACAAAACCGAGCGCAAUGGCGUUCUAGGAUUCAUAUAGCCGACCCCACUUAGUGGGAAAAAGCUUUGUUGUUGUUGUUGUUGUUGUAUAAUUUCUCAAAUCCUAUGAUUUAAAUACUUUUGCCUACUUAAUAUACCUCCUUUUUAUUUUGGUUUUGUGUUGAAUUUUACUGUUUUGCAAUUUGCAAUUAAUCGGUACAUUACCAAGUUUGAAUAUUUUUAUAUAGGUGAUUUAAUUUUUCUUGCAUUUGGAACCCAAAAAAAAAAAAAAUGUGAUCUUCUAUUUUUCUGACGUUUACUUAUAUUUUGCAUCUCAGAAGGGCAGAUACACUCAUGAAUCUCAACCGACUUGCAUAGGAGUAAAAAGAUUGUUCACUGACGGAGGUAAAAUGAUUCUUAAUCUUUCGUGAGGUUUUCCUUUAUUGUUAGACUAUUUAUCAGAUUUUUGGCUUCUACAUAAUUUACCAAAACCAUAACUGGCAGAUGGUUUUAUACUUGACCGAAUUGUUAAAAUUAUUUCAUUACGAGGCUGAAAAAGCUGGAGUGUUCCGUUUGCUUCCAGUACAUUCUUCCAACCCAGUUCCAGUUCUCUCUCGCCAGUUUCCAAGAAGCAUAGCGUGAGUUCCUCUUCUUUUUCUUAAUUACACAGUAUUCAAUUAGCAUGUGGGAUGUAUUGUUAACAUUAAGGACCUCUGUAAAUUUUUUAUUGUUUACUGACCAAUUGCAGGUAGAUGGUAUGCUCACAGAACUUGCCUGCUUGCUUCUUCAUAUACCUUCCGUGCAAUGUUUGAUGGUGGUAUGAUUUUCCAAUUUCUCGUUUGCAGCAUUUUCUUUUUGGUUUUCGUCGUGUAUGCACUACAAAAGUAACACAGCGGGAGUAGGUUUAGAGGGUAAAGAAAUUUCUUCAUGUAAUGAGAAGUGAGGGUUUUUGCUUAACCACUUUUAUUUACUGGUUUUUUAGUCAAGUUUAUAGCACCGAGGAUAUAGGUGAACGGUGAAGCAAUUUGGGUAACAUGUUAUGAGAAGUAUACUAAAUGGUUUUUCCUUUUUUUUUUUGUUUUGUUAGAGAUUAAAGAUGUAAGUGUACCAAAUUGGAAGCUCAAAUAUUGAACAACAUGAUUUACUUCAUUUGUUAGUUGGUAAAGACUUCGUCUCUCCUCAAAACCCAUUGUAUUCCUUCGGCUCUUUUUUCUUGGUGAGAAUUGGAAUUUUUAUUUAUGUUUUGAAACUCUAAAUUGGUUGUCCUUGUCAUAUGAAAAAUGAAUAUAUUUUUGUGUGAUUGUAUUUGUAUGAACAACUUAAACCACAUCUUUUUCUAUGUAAUGUAUUCUUCAAAUACCUAUCUUUUGUUCAUUAUUACACAUAAGGAUGCAAAUAGACGAUGGUAUGGACGUGGACAGAUUUGAAUAUGUGAUAUAUCCUACAUAUAUUUAUCUUUUUACCUUAUGGAAUAUGAGGAUGUAAAUAGAUAUUUCUUUGAUAUGGAUAUAAUUAGGUUUUAAUAUAUUUGAUGUUUAACAAAUUUUAAAACCCGCGGUAUCGCACGGAUUCUUUUGCUAGUAUUAUCUAAUAUUUCUUUAUAUUAAGUUUGAAGACAUGACAUUCACAUGUACCCAUGUUGGUAGAAGAAAGUUGCUCAAUUAUCAAGAUUAGAUCAAGAAAGAGGAAAGAGAAAUUUUGUAUAAAAAAAAUAUAAUAUGUCGAAAGAUGCCUCUCUAGGUUGGAAACUUAUUGGGCAUUCAUAUGUGUAUUUUGUCUGUCUUUCUCCAAUCAUGCCCAUUUGCUCAAUCCCAGCUGUAACUAACCUCCAACCCCUCUCCCUCUUGCGCUCCACCUCUUUUUCCAAUCCAAUUCUCCAACAAUCAAUCCAAUCUGCAUCCUCACCGUCCCAUGCUGUCCCCAUUCCUUGAUGUCCCAUUUCAUUUGCCACCCUAGCUCAUUCCUCUGGUGAUGAAACCAAUCAUAUUCCAAAUCAAUCACAUAAUGUACAUGUUAUAUGCGUGAAUAACUUGAGAAACUAUCAUUGUGCGAACUUGAAACACCGUCACAAUAAUGUCUUCGUAAGUGAUGAUGAGUAUAGUCUACCAAGAGAUAGAUACAUUUUCUCAUUCAAUCUUCCAGGCAUAAAGAAAUAAGCAAAACUCGGAUGAACCAGCAGAACUUGCAUUAAUCCCUUCUACUGAUGCAGAACUAGUCUGAGAGGACAAUGGAGUUGAUGCCGAUGAAGAAAAUGGCGGCGAGGAUGACGAGGUUCUCGAUAACGGUGACAGAGAUGUACUUGAAGCAGGCAAACUUGGCUUGAAAAUAAACAAUGCACGCCUUAAUCCUGGACUAAAAAGCCAGUCAUGGACAUCCCAAUAAACCUCAAUUCUCAACUUGUUGAUACGAAUGGACUCAUUACCUCUAAACUUCCAUUGAAGAUGCUUCACAUGAACCACCAAAUGCCCAUCAACCCUAAUCUCCAACUCCGGCUCCACCCCAUUUAGGGUACUUCCACUCCCAAUGCUCCCGUCGCCGCCACCGCCACCUCUGUGUUUGCAUUCAAUUGCAAUUUCAUGCAGCCUGCCUUUUUCAUAAAACUUAGCUUUUGUGGAAAACUUUUUCUUACCAAAAAUGUGCUCUUUUUUAGAAACCAAAGUGGGAUCAGUGAGGGCAGGUCUAAAACCUGUUUUUCUGUAUGCAUCUUUUUUGAGAUCACCAAGAAGCAAAACAACUUCCUUGUCACAAAGAACCGCAACGUAGUACUCUGAUUUGGGCUCCGUCCCGCCGUUGAAUUUUGCGGCCUUGAGGUCCCAGAAGAUCUCCACUGCCUUCCCAUCAACCACAAAGCGCUUGGAGCCUUGCUUCCUCCAGAAGUACCAUGGCUUGAGCUCAACUUUGAAGCUGUGUUGGGUGUGCUGCUGGGUUUGAUCUCCAUCCGGGCCCUCCAUCGUCACCGAUAGGCCAUGGAGGAGCAGGUUUUUGCACCAUGUGAUCGUGAUCAAGCGGCUCUGAUCGGCUAUCUUGGUUCUGUACACUCUCAUGUAGACACUGUGGCCUGACCUAGCCACAGCUGAUGCAUCAUCACUUAACUUCUCACCUGAGGAGAAGCAAGCAGGAAUGCCAAUGUGGUCUUGCAUUUUUCGUCACCACGACGGAUUCAGGAUUUGAAAAAUGAGGUGCGUCGAACGACGAUUCCAAGACUCAAAAAUGAGGUGCGAAAAAACCUUUAUAGCAGUGACGGAUCCAGAAUUUAAAACUGAAACGUACUUAACGGAGUUAUCAAAGCAGAAAGUUUCUCAAGAGGAUGAAAACCAAAGGAGUGGAAGAUGAGGAACAAAUUGGAGGAAGGAGAGUUGGGGGGGAGAGGGGAGUUUUAAGACGGUGGGAGAGAGUGAGUGAGAGAACCUAGUCACAAGAUGUGUUGAGUCACAGAUGCUGCCAGAGGUGUGUUUGGCAGCAUUGUUUAAAGAACUAUUUCUAAACUGGUAGAUAGACUGGCAGUUCAUUUCUAAUCUCUCUCUUACCUGGAUUUCAAUUUAUUUAUUUUGUUAAUUGUACUUUAAAUAUAUUACAAUUUUCUUUGCAAUUUUACAAAGACAACUUUAUUGAAUCCGAGGUGGUUUUGCUUCCGCUGCACGCACUUAAAUUACAUAAUUCCACGCAUGGUUAAAAGUAUAAGUAAGACCAUUUGUCAACACAUUAUUUAUGGUUCAACCAUGUUAUUUGACUCUCUGUAAUUGAACUCUAAAUAAUGAAUCUAACUAUCGAACAACCAUCAGCCAACACAUCGUGUAUUUUUAUAAAAUAUAUAGUUCAUGAUUACCGUGAUCAUACUUUAUGUAAUAAUACAUGUUUUAAAAAAUGUGAGAAAUUAAAGUAUCUUGACUCUAUAGCAUGAGUCAAUCCAAAAGUAGAUCUCUUUAACAUCAACCAAAAAACCCAGUCAAAACUAUAUAACGUAAAAGAGUUUGGAUAAUUUGGUUUUGCUUCCCGAUGUGGGUCUUGUGGAUUUUUUAUUGUUUGAAUAAGCGUUCAUAAAGUUUGUAUAUGGGAGGUGCAACUUUUUUUAACUUUGUAUUAAAAAAUGUGUAGCAAUUAUGUAGUAGAGGAAUCUAAGACUACGGGGGUGGUGGCGAUAAUUGCUGAGGGAAAAGUCUGAGGAAUCUAAUGUUUGUAGCUGCUGCAGAACUGGUCCAGCUAAUGGUUGCAUAAUAAUGCUUGGAUAAUCCUCACUUUUUUUACCUAUAAAUGAUAUCAUUGUGACGGUUUCAUUUCAAGUCAAUCAAAGCAUUAUUAUGUAUCUUAAUCUUAAUAUUUUUACAUGAUAAUGCUUAAUUCUCUUGACGUACUGCUAUAGUGAUAUCCAAGUUGAUAGACCAAAGUUGAAAUCAAAUAUCAUCAUGCAAGGAAUGAAUCCAAAUUUUCUCACAUAACUUAGAAUGACCUAUAUUAGCAAAAGCAUCAACCAGCAUAGUUAGUUGUCAUUCUUCACAUAUCAAAAUGUGUAAACUAAUAAAUAGGGACUGAAAAAUGGGCGAGUUCCACGUUGAAACUUGGUAUGUCAUACGUGAAUAUCUACGUAUGUUUUUUGUUGUUCAACUCGAACCUUCAUCUAAACCUCAUAUAAAGAGGGAUUAAAAAAAACAAGAGGAUCCUCAGACAUGAACAACUAGAUAUCAUUCCCCAUGUCAUUCUCUUUCUUCACCUUUUUUACACGAACAAUGAUUGACUACUGAAAGAAGAGUAGAAGCUCUUGUUGAAACCCCAUUAAAAUUUGACAAGUGUAAACAAGUAGGGCGAUGUUGGUUCAAGUUUUAAUUCUUCAAAUUAUUUGGACACGUGUCCAAUUUUAAUAACACUGAUUGAAUUCAGCAGGAGCUCCAGCUUUUCUUUCGGCAGCCAAUCCUUAUUCUUCUUACACAUGACUCAUGAAAUAUUACAUUUAACCUUUAAUUUGGUAUGUGAAGAAAAGGGCUAGUCCUCUUCAGGCCCAAAGUCCAUUACUGGGCCAGAUUAUACCGUUGAUAGGCCCGUUUGUACAAUCCUUGGGCCCAAAUCGGAGCCCUAAUGCCUUGAAGCCAAAGAGGGCAUUUUCGUCCAUCUACCCUGAACAUAAACCCCAUUUCCCAAGCUACCGUGGGUUUUGGGUAAGCCACCGGUCAUCCCUCCCCGUUUGGUUCCCUAGAAAACCCAAUAGAAAAUUGCAUCCAUUUUCUCAUUCCCCCACUCCAUUUUCUCAGCAACCAAACAGAAAAUUUGAUUGCAUACCCACUUCGUAAAAAUGCAGACUUUAAGCGCGAGCAUCCGAUUGGUCCGAAGACAAAGAAUCGACAGCUCAAAAAUUGCUCAUUUUAGAUCAAUCGGAGCUUACCAAUUGAGCAGCGGUUCUGGGUUUAGCUCGUUGGCGUCGGAUCGUUUGGCGUCUGCCGAGAAAUUGGGGGAUUUUUCGGGGUUGGGGUCUCUGAAGCUACUUGUUUCAGUCAAUUUCCAAGUUUUCGUAUCGGUCUUCGGCCUCGUUCGUAUGUUUUCGACUCGUUAUACUCUAUUUAACAGCAUUUUAGCAUGUUUUAGUUGAUUUUUAAUUUGAAGAUUGCACUUUUAACAUGUUUAUGGUAUUGGAUUUUACUCUGAAUAUGCCUGUAAUUGUGAAUUUUCGGUGUUUUUAUUCGAAAACACAGUGUUCUUCGUGUAAACGAGUUAUUGGGUGUUGGUACAUUUGAAAAAAGAAGAUUUCUUUGUUAACUUAAAGGUAUUUGAUGCACUUCGAGCUUGCGAAUGAGUCUACAGGCCGAUUUGCUUCGCGUUUUGCUUUUCGUGUUUAGGAAGGUCACUUGCCAGUGUGCACAAUGGAGGAUCCCUUUCCACCUAAUCCACCAAUUCUGUGAUCCGAACCGUUGAAAUUUGAUCUAACAAGGGUCCCUUUAAAAGUUAUAAUAACUGUAGCCGUUUGAUCAAAUUUCAACGGCCCGGAUCCUGGACUUGGUAGAUUAGGUGGAAAGGGAUCCGGAAAGGAUCCGCACAAUGGUCGUAAGUCAUAAACUUUGGUAGAGAAGGUGAAUUGGACGACUAUUUUUAUGUGUAUGAGAUGUAUACAAGGGUUAACCCGAACACUUGUAAACCGGAAAUGUGAUAGAGAAGUAACAAAAAGAUAUUCUGGAGAGAUGUGGAUUAUGACAUAAUUACUGUACAACUAGGAAACACGAACAUUAGAUCACACGUCAUAAACACAUAUUUAUGUUAUACAGUGUGGAAUUCAUCUGAAGUGCAAUAUUUUGUCUUUCUUUCCUAAGAUCAAUUUUUUGUGAUGCUGUGUACUAUAUUGUACCAGACUACAACUAGCUCUCCAAGUGAGACAUCAACUUGUUCGUGUAGUUCCAAGUUAUUCAAGAGUGCUCGACCAGGAUUUUGUCGAUGUGCGGCAGUUUUACCUCCUUUCCCAAGCAGGUGCAUUACAACAGGGGCAAAUCCUGUUCAAUCAGCUACUCAGGAUUCAGGAAUGUAUGAGUCUGAUGUAGCUCCUCCCAUCAAAUUCAAGAGGCUUGAUAAAACUGCUCACCACAUAAUGCAGGCAUGCCUCUAUCUGUUGGUAUUCAUGACAAGACAUAACGCGUGUUCUAUUCCUUUUAUAUUUAUAUUGGUUCAUUAUAUAUCCACAGAUUCUAGAUAAGGAAGCUGUAGAGGAAGUGAGGACACAGAGAGAAAUACCGGAUGUAAGGCCUGGGUAUAUGGUGCAACUCAGAGUGGUAUGUUGUGUUCAUUUUGAAAAAUUAAAGUUUUGUAAGGUGCUUUAUGUUGUGGACGGAGUUCCUUGUGAGAUUGAGCAGAUUCUUUUUUUCCCAAUGCUUUUCUGUAUGUGAACAGGAAGUACCCGACAACAAGCGACGUGUUUCAGUCGUGAAAGGCGUCGUGAUAGCUAGACGUAAUGCUGGUCUAAACUCUACAAUUAGAAUCAGGAGGCAAGUGGCUGGGGUCGGGGUUGAAUCUCUCUUUCCACUGUAAGCAAUUCUGGUUUUUAUUUUCUUUUACAUUGAUGGUCCUAGCCUGUAUUGUCUUUGCUACCCUGCUUUAAGUUGGAAAGAAAACAUGUGAUUUUCAUAGUGGGAUGUCCUGGAAGAGGGUGUAUUGAAAUUUUACUGUGAUAACUUAUUAAUUCUCGACUCUGAUUAUACGGGUAUUACACGCUUGUACAACAUUAUGCAUACGACAUUUUCGAAGAUUAGUCAGUUGUUGAUUGUCUUAUAAAAUGUACAUUAAAAUGGAGCCUUUAGAAAGUUACUGAGUUAUAUAGUCAAAAUUCUCUUCUCAAAAAAAAAAAUAUAGUCAAAAUUCUGUACUCUAAAAUUUAGAAACUAACCAUGCUCAGUAAAUAUUGCUAGUUAACGCUCUGGUGUUCAUGACUGCAAACUAAUUAAGGGCUGGUUUGGUAUUGCUGUGCUUUGAAAAAAAUCUGGUGUGAGAAUAAGCGGCUGUGCUGUGAGAAUAAGCGGCUGUGAAAAAAAUCAGCAGAGUGUUUGGUAAACUUUUUUGUAAAAGUGCUUUUGAAAAAAAAAACAGUCUGAUAGUGGGUAUUUUCAUUAAAAGAGCACUGCAGCUCCGUGUGCUUUGAAAAAAAACCAGUUUUCCAAAGCUACAAAUAGCAGCUUCAGCUUUUUCCUUUGAUUUCAGCUUAUUCUCACAGCAGCUUCCAAAAUAAGCCAUUUUUUUUUCAGUUUACCAAACACCUAAAACUCUCACAGCUUUUUUUUCAUGGGUGCUUUUUUUUUAAGCACCUUACUUCCAAACCACCCCUAACUUCAACGCAAAUUCUAGAUUUUUAGUUAUUUACACUUAAAUUACUAUUUGGGUGAAACAGAUGAUAUUUUGUACGCAAACUCGGUGUGGUGUCUUCAAACAAAUAUUUAUAUUGAUUUCUGAUUAUUUCAUGUGCAACUCAUGUGUGGGAUUUGCCUAUUCCUAUCAUUUGUUUCACAUAAGUAGAACUGUGCUCAGUCUCAACAGAAUGACUGAAAGUCGAUAACGUAUGGCAGGUAUUCGCCUAAUAUAAAGGAGAUUAAGGUGCUGGACAAGAAGAAAGUGCGGAGGGCGAAGCUGUACUAUGUCAGGGACAAAAUCAAUGCAUUUAAGAAGCAAUCGUAGCCAGUGGUAUCAAAAGGAUGUUGCCUGACGAAGAUGAUUCCCAUGUAUGACUUGGGUCAGAAAUCCAGCAAAAUUUUGGUGAUCUCAUUUCCUAUUGUUCUUUUUCUUUUGAACGCGUUAUUAGUCUGUGAAUCUUCAUCAAGUCUUUUGAGAAUCUGAGAUGCCUGGUAGAGACGUGCGAGUUCAACUGAAUACCGGGCAAGUUACCUGAAUAUUUUACUUUCCGAUUUAGUAUGUACUCAGGUUGAUGAAUGAUAUCAAGUUGGCAUAAAUGUGAUUGUUACACACGUAGACUGUUUUAUCAUUUAUUUUACUUUGGUUAGCUUCAUCUGUAGUUUCGAGUCCGUUGGCCAUCUCUUGUGUUGCUAUGGAGAAAUGAGAAAUUUUUCAGUGUGAUUAUCACAUUUCCUCGUGAUGUUGCUAAUUCACAUGUUACAAUAUGGUAUCAGUGGACAACAUGGUUUAAACAUAAGCGACCUAGGGUACGAGUGGAUUUGUAACACAACAUGGCAGUGUGACGGUCACACUAAAUUCGUUUGUGACGUCGCUUAAAACAAUAUUUGCCAGUCAACUUUUGAAUACAUCAAUAUUUUGUUUCUUUUUAGUACAUCAAUAUUUUUACAGGAGUUCGGCUAAGUCACACAAUUAGUAGUCUGAUUUGAUAUCGAAUUCGUAAUUCACAAGAUUAGAACCUAAGAUCUCUAACUUUUAAGCAAAGAGUGAUAUUACUAGACCAUAUUACUGAGUGGCAACAUAGAUCCUUUUUAGCUUAUAGUUUUUGGAUGUGAAUUCAAGCGAGGUCACCAUCAGCGUUUGUGUGCUAGUUCGUCAUGUCUUUAUGAAUUAGAAAGAAAAUGGUUACUGGUGAUAAGAUUUCUUUUGGAAAAACUAUUUUCGUACAUUAGCGUGACGACCUUGAUUAAUUAACGUCACAUUAGCUGCUAAAUUUCCUGUAUUAAAUUACAAUUAAUUAACGAGUCACUUUCAAUUGAUUAGUAGUUUUAUAAAACUUGAACAGUUCUGAUCAUAGAUUAACCUGCUAACUGGUUAGCUUGGAAAGAGAUUUUCUCCAGAUCCCUUCCUCCUAAUUCAUCAAAUCAGGAAAUUUAUGCCGUUGAAAUUUAAUCUAACAACUACAAACAGGGUCCACUUUAAAAGUUACAAUAACUUCAACCAUUGGAUUAAAUUUUAACAGCACAAAUUACCUGAUAUAGUGAAUUAGGAAAAGGGAUCCGGAGAUGAUCCUUUCCAUUUAUAAAACACUACCACUUUUUGGGAUGAAAGAUUUUUUUAGGGAACUUUAACGAAAAAUUCCCGGUACUAUUUACUCUAACGAAAAACCACAUUUUUAUACUAAAAAGUCAAUCCUGGUAGUAUUCACUUUAUCCUUUAUUUUGUUCUUAUCGUUAAAACUUAAAGUUUUUAAAUCUUUUUAAUUAGUUUUCCUAUUUUUUUUAAGCACUCGUCUAUUUAUUAAGAAAGUCAAACUAAUAUUUAAUCAGUAGAGCCCACUUGUAAAAAUUGUCAACCGUUGGAUGGCUCCACGUAAAGAAUCAACGUAGCAGUUUAAGGUUCGACAUCAAGCUGAAGAAACGCGCGUAGCACAUUACUCCCACAUGACCGAAAUAAAUAAAACAAAAAUAAAAUAAAUCAAAUCAAAAUCUCAGUUAGUUCUUCUAUCAUAGACGGCUUCGCUUUCACGUCCCAUUCUCUCUCUCUCUCUCUCUCUCUCUCUCUCUCUCUCUCCUCCUUUCACCUUCUCACACCUCCGCAAACGCACGCUCCUUCGUCCGCUUCUCCGCCUUCAUACUUCAGCACCUCCGACUGCCGGUUUCCUAAUACGGUGCGUAUUAGAAUUUGAUCCGAAUCGGGUCGUUCUCGGGUCGAUUUGCUUGGAAAAGACGAACGAGUCAUCGACAAUGCCACUGGAUUUGUCGUCGGAGCAAGACACCGACGAUGCCGAUAUCGAGUUCGUUGAGGUUGAUCCCACUGGUCGAUACGGUCGGGUCAGUGGCCGUUACUUUUUUCACUCUCUCUUUUGUUUUAAUUUCCAUUUCUUUUCUGUUUCUUUUUUUAAUUAUUUGUUGAUUUGAUUUAGCUGGUUUACUUUUGAAAUGUUUGGAAAUUAAUUACUCAAUGCCUUAAAGUCUUAAUCUUUUGUUAAUAAAGUUGUGAUUUAGAUUGAUAUGUGUUGAAUUCUCUUUCGUUUUGGUGAUUUUGCAGUAUAAAGAGGUUCUAGGAAAAGGGGCUUUCAAGAAAGUGUAUCCUUUUUGCUCUCAUUUGUUUAUUUACUUAUUUAUUUUUUGAAUUAAUUUUUGGGUUUUUAGUUGGAUACAAUGCGUUUGAAUUUGAACCAUUUUACUUGAUAUUAUAUCGAGGCGGAAUUGUGUUGUGGAUCUAUUUUUGUGUGGCCUUGAUCGGUAAGGAACUUAGAUAUCGAGCAUUUGAUGAAUUGGAAGGAAUAGAGGUAGCUUGGAAUCAGGUUAAGGUGGCGGAUCUACUACGCAACUCCGAAGAUUUAGAGAGACUGUAUUCGGAAGUUCAUUUGCUUAAGACUCUAAAGCACAAGAACAUAAUUAAGUUUUACAAUUCGUGGGUCGAUGCCAAGCAUGAGAACAUCAACCUUAUUACGGAGAUUUUCACUUCGGGAACUUUACGACAGUGAGUAUUUAGUGAUCUGUUGUUGUAUAACAUUCAAUGUUUGUGAUUUCUGUAUGCUUUUAUUCAGUGCCCCAGUGUCUCAGUGUCCAUUAUCGUGUAGGUACCGGAGAAAGCAUAAGCACGUUGAUUUGAGGGCGUUGAAGAAAUGGUCUAGGCAGAUCUUAGAAGGCCUUUGGUAUCUUCAUAAUCAUGACCCCCCAGUAAUCCAUCGAGAUUUGAAGUGUGACAACAUUUUUGUCAAUGGGAACCAAGGUGAAGUCAAAAUUGGUGACCUAGGACUGGCUGCUAUUCUUCGACAGGCUCGUUCAGCUCACAGUGUCAUUGGUGAGGACUGCAAUUAUAAUCAUUAUUCAUAUUUUUCUUCUGGGAUAGUAUUUAGUUCAGAAUCUUUAGUAACAGGGCCGGCAAUGUAAUUGUUUCCUCCCUUUAGGUACUCCCGAGUUUAUGGCGCCAGAACUUUACGAAGAGGAAUACAAUGAGCUUGUAGACAUUUAUGCCUUUGGCAUGUGCGUGCUAGAGUUGGUGACCUUUGAGUAUCCAUAUGUUGAAUGUUCAAAUGCUGCUCAAAUAUUCAAGAAAGUGACAUCAGUAAGGGCUUCAUGACUUUUUAUGCGUAUUUUCUCUGUGGACAUGAACAGUCACUUGAGGAAGACUUUCAAGACUUGGUUUGAUCUGUCAGACUCAAGUUUUUUAUUAAUUUAAUUUUUCUAGAUACAUUGCAUUAUUAUUUCUUUUGAUUGUGGUUAAUGAUUCAUUUCAUUGGAUUGUGAUGCAUGAUUCAGUUGUUUAGCUUAUUUCGCUACAGGAACUUUGGAUCCUUUCCCACCAAUAGAAAGGUUUAUACUUGUAAUUCUAGGCAUAUUUGCACAAACGCCCCUUGAUCUCCUGUUCCAGGACCAGCAUAAAUUUUGUUAGUUUGCCACUUUUCUGAAAAAUAGAGUUGUUAGGAGGAUUGUGGUGAAUGAUUAUGAUACAUUCUAACAUGGUCCUUGAAUCAGUUAUAACAUGCUACUUAUAUCUGUUCUUUUUUUCGUUUUGGUAUGGUAGGGAGUAAAGCCAGCAUCGUUGGCAAAAGUGACAGAUCCUGGAGUUAAAGCAUUCAUAGAAAAAUGCAUUGUGAAAGUUUCAGAACGCUUGCCUGCAAAAGAACUUCUUAUGGAUCCUUUUCUCCAAUCAGAUGACGAUCGUGAAAGUAUAACUCGCUCUCUACGACCCACUCAUUAUUCAGGUAAAGUGAGUUUUUUAUCUAGUGCUCAAAGGCUUUUUGUGUCAUUCUCCUCACAUUGUGACAUGCUAGAUGCAGAAGGCAGUUCUGAUCAGAUUGAUAUCGAGACAAAGGAUAUGGACCCUUCUCAUGAGACAAAUCGGGACUUCAGUGUGCAAGGUCAGAGGAAAGAUGACACGAUAUUUCUGAAAUUACGAAUAGCAGAUUCUACAGGUAGCCUUUUCUUUCUUUUUCUUCCCGCUUUCCAGUUUAUUUACUUUUCAGUCAAAGAAGUAUGUUUUUAUGCCAGUUCCUGGUCUUAAAAUUGAGAAAGUUUCCACCUGGGCCCAGGUCAUUUUCGAAAUAUUCACUUUCCAUUUGACAUUGGGGAAGACACUGCAAUUGCUGUUGCUAGUGAAAUGGUUCAAGAGUUAGACCUGACAGAUCAAGAUGUUUCAACAAUUGCUGAACUAAUCGACUCUGAAAUCCAUUCCCACAUUCCAGAUUGGCCGAUCGCGAAAAUUCUGGAGAUCAUAUUGAUGGUGAGGCCUCAACUCCUUAUAGCCAUGCUUCUGAGUAUAAUGAGGAUGCUUCCCCCUUGAUACACGAGGACCUUCUUUCUAGUAAUCUUGCAUUAGAAAGAUUGCCUUCAGGCCGCAAGUACUGGUGUGAAUCACCCAAGGAAGGCGGUGGAAAUUCUCCAGGGAAGUAUGUCAUUACCAAUUUGAAUUCUCCAGCGGAUCCAGUCACUGCAGGAGGUGCUGAAGAAAACGAGAACUCUCCUGGUAGCAGCCCUAGGGAGGAAGAUGAUGAAAAUGGUGCUGGCCCCUCAAAUUCACCAAAUGGUGGUGUUGAGGAAGAUGAGAAAUCUCCUGGUGGCCAUAGAGAGGAAAAUAAUCCAAAUGGUGAUGGAGCCUCUGAAUCACCGAGUGGUGAUAGUCAUGCAGCUACUAAUCCACAUCUUAUUAAUGGAGUUCAUCCAUUUGAAUCAGAAGAAGUAAAGAUCAUUGCCGAGAAACUUGAGAAUCUAUUGGUAGAACAGAAAAAGGAGUUAGACGAGCUCAAGAGGAAGCAUGAAUUAGCAAUAGCAGACCUAUUGAAAGAACUGCCACCAGUUUUCUGUCAAAAAGUUUUAGAUAUAUGUAAGAUGAGAUUUCCAGACUACAAAAUGCAGUAUGAGGGAGACAGCUAAACCAAUCAAUUUGCAGAUUCAGCAUCUCUUUUCCGUUUCAUAUCUCCACUGCCAAUGCCGGGAUAUAUAGAUUAUUCAUUUGAUUUUCCAGUGACAGAAACAGAAGUUGCAGAUAUAUCCUAUACUUCGGUAAAGGUUUAGCAAGUGAUAGAAACAGAAGAAGCUGUGUUUUUUGCUGCUGGAUGUGGAUAUUGAGGGAGAUUUGUAAUAUAGGUUCAGCAAGUGAUAGCCUGGAGGACAAUCAUUCUUGUCAUCUAGAUCAGCUUUAGAGUGACCCGGGAAGCCCUACAAAUUCCGGCACUUGGAACUCCCGCGAGGCAACUCAUCGAGUCUGAUAAGUCGAUUUGAUGCCUGAAGAUGAACAAGCUCGCCUACAUAUAACGAAUACGCGGUAGCCAUCACAUGGAGUACAUACCUGUACAGAUAAUUCUUUACCCUUCUUCUUUCAGUUAUACCUCAAAUCAGUGCGUUGAGCAAAUGUGAAAAUUAAUUUAAAUUUCUUAGUUUUGGGGGUUACGUGUUUGUCAAGUUAUUGUUGCGGCAUGCUUUGCCCUUGGUUUAUUGUUUAACUGCAUAAUAAUCAUAACAUGAAAGUUGAAAUUUAUAAUUGGCCCUUGUUUUUUCUGGAUUCCAAAAUAUGAGGUUGGUGUUCGUGGCACGUUGGCCAUUGCUUCGUAUGAUUUGUUUCCAAAAAUUAAGGUAUUUGCAUCAGUUACGUGGCACAAAGGGAGUCUGGCUUUUAUGGGUUGCCAUCACAUAAUGGGCACAAAUCACCAUCGAUCAGUCGAUUGCAUAUACUUUGGAGCCCAACUAAAUGAGAUCCAUUAUGAAAGUGCUUUUAAAAUGACUGAAAGUAUUUUUAAUGAGAGUGCUUUUGGAAUUAAUGCGUAGUAAAAAUGCAAGUGAAUCAUGAAAAAAUAUUUAAAAAUGUUUUUUGCAAAAACUAUAUAGUUGCUACCUCCUGCAACAAGCAUUUAAGUAUUUAUGAAACCUAGAAGCACUUUUACCAAUAGUACUUUCAGUUAGCCUCCAAUGUCCAAUGAACUUAAAGAGUCCCAUUGGGAUUUUUUUCUUUUACUUUAAAGAAAAUAAAUUUGUACAUGCAAUUUUUCUCUUUCUUCACAUUUUUGUUUACUUCUGUUUUUUCAUUAUCUUUUGAUUUAUUAAUCAAAUGACCAAUGGUAAACAUGAGUGUAUAAUGGGACGAGAGAGAAUGUGUGAAAAGUGACAAAAGUGUUUACAAUGAAAAAGAGUAUGAUGGUGAGUUGUCAAAUAAAACUAUUUUCAAAAUAAUUUAAGAGUUAAGCUUUGAAAUUUAUAGAAAACUCGGAGCUUGAGGAUGGAUAUUCAUACUCCAGAAGUUCUUUGCAAUUGGAAUUGAAAUCGAAAUCCCUAAAAAUGCAAUAAGAGCAGGAAAGGUUUUAUUUUCACACGUGUGAGCCCACAACCCUGGUUGCACAGAAACCCCAAACUCCCACCAGUAAUCCACGAAGACUAACUCUGAGGCAGAGAAAUGGAUAGACCACCCCAUAUGAGGUCCUCCUGUGUCUUCCUAACAAGAUAACACUCAUCUCACUCUCUCACUCUCUCCCUCUCCCUCUCUCUCUCCUCCCGCUUUCUCUCUCUAAAGACUCAGUCUUUCCAUGGCAAUUUCCACAGCAGCAGCUGCAGCUGCAACCUCAGCUUCCUCAAAGCUCGCAUACCCAUAUGCCUCCACAGCCUCCCCGUCCCCCACAACCUCUUCUUUCUCCAUUAGACCUUCUUCCAAGCUCACCCACCUCUCCUCCUCCUUCCUCAACCCCUCCACCAUCCUCCACCUCACACCCGCCUCCAACACCCGCCACCACCGCCGCAACUUCACCGUCAAAGCCGCCAGAGGUAAGUUCGAGCGCAAGAAGCCCCAUGUCAACAUCGGCACAAUCGGCCACGUCGACCACGGCAAGACCACCCUCACCGCAGCCCUCACCAUGGCCUUGGCCUCCAUCGGCAAUAGCGUCUCCAAGAAAUACGACGAAAUCGAUGCCGCCCCGGAAGAGCGCGCCCGUGGAAUCACCAUCAACACCGCCACCGUCGAGUACGAGACCGAGAACCGCCACUACGCCCACGUCGACUGCCCCGGCCACGCCGAUUACGUCAAGAACAUGAUUACCGGCGCCGCCCAGAUGGACGGCGCCAUUCUCGUCGUCUCUGGAGCCGACGGCCCAAUGCCGCAGACCAAAGAGCACAUCUUGCUGGCGAAGCAGGUGGGUGUGCCGAACAUGGUGGUUUUCCUGAACAAGCAGGACCAGGUGGACGACGAGGAGCUCUUGCAGCUCGUCGAGUUGGAGGUGAGAGAGUUGCUUUCUUCCUAUGAAUUUCCUGGUGAUGAUGUGCCUAUUAUUUCUGGAUCUGCACUGCUUGCACUAGAGGCUCUAAUGGCGAAUCCCACCAUUUCGCGAGGCGAAAAUCAAUGGGUUGAUAAGAUUUAUGAACUUAUGGACUCUGUUGAUGAUUACAUUCCGAUUCCUCAGAGGCAGACUGAGCUGCCAUUUUUGAUGGCGAUCGAAGAUGUGUUUUCGAUCACUGGCCGUGGCACUGUGGCCACUGGCCGUGUCGAGAGGGGGAAGGUUAAGGUCGGAGACACCGUCGACAUUGUUGGCUUGAAGGACACCAGGAACACAACUGUCACCGGUGUCGAAAUGUUUCAGAAAAUUCUUGAUGAUGCCAUGGCUGGUGACAAUGUGGGGUUGUUGCUUAGGGGUAUCCAGAAGAUUGAUAUCCAGAGAGGGAUGGUGUUGGCCAAACCCGGGACUAUUACCCCGCAUACCAAAUUCGAGGCGAUUGUGUAUGUGUUGAAGAAGGAAGAGGGGGGAAGGCAUUCACCGUUCUUUUCGGGUUACAGGCCGCAGUUUUACAUGAGGACUACUGAUGUCACCGGGAAGGUGACUUCGAUUAUGAACGAUAAGGAUGAGGAGUCGAAGAUGGUGAUGCCUGGCGAUCGCGUUAAGAUUGUGGUCGAGCUGAUUGUUCCGGUGGCGUGCGAGCAGGGGAUGAGGUUUGCCAUCAGAGAAGGAGGGAAGACUGUUGGAGCUGGUGUUAUUCAAUCCAUUAUUGAGUGAUAGAAAAUACAAAUUAUGUGGUGGUCUCAACUUGUUUUUGCAAUUUGGUGCCCAACUUGAACUCUCUCAGCUUCAAUUUUUAUCUGGUUUUUGACAUUUUGAAGCAAUUUCCACCAUGAAAUGUUAUAUAUCUUGUAGGUUUCAUCAUCUUGAUUUGCUCUGCUUUUUGUGAUCACUAACGUUAUUGUUGCAUUUUAUAGCUCAUAUUUUGUAUGUUACCACAUGAUUCAACAGCUAGAAACCGCUCAUGUCCGGCCUUAGGCCAUAGCAUGUAAAUGGUAAAGUGUAAUCUGUCACGAGAAUAUACAAAUUUCUGACCGAUUUGCCAUGCCGCCGCUGUUUGAGCUUCAAACGAUAUGGCCACGGGAUUGCCUAAAAAUUAGGUGAACAAAAAUUUGGUACUAGCAUAUAGAUUAGUAGAUAAUAUAUUCACUAAACCUGCCAUACUCUGCUAAUCAUCACUAAUUAUAAAAAGUCUGCCUUUAAAACAAGCUGUUAUAUAUAAAUAGACAUUUAACGACACAUUGUAUACGAUACAGUACACACAUUGCCUUGCUGCAGACAAAUAUUGUCCAUCUCAAAGACAACUCUCUUACUUGACUAGCAUAGAACUAUCUUUCCUAAAACCAUGCUCCACUGUGUAUGCUGUGAGUGCCGGAAGAUACACCGUCCUUAGCGACUAAGAUCAGUCCUCGGCGUCCUGCAGAAAGCUUUGUAUUCUGAUGAGUUCAUAUAUCCAAGAAUAUGGUUGAUGCAAUCAACUCUUGCACGAAUGUCGCCCUCUGCCUCCUCUCUUCUCUAUCCUUUUCACAAGCUUCAUCUGGCGGAGAUGGCUCGCCGCUGCACAGACAAAAUGCAUCAGUAACAGGGCAUCAACAGGCAUCACCAUGAAAUCACAUAUCCUAAAUGUUAGUUAGCGAAACCAGUACAACUUGCAGCAGAGUCGUGCCAUCAUGACUUUACCCAACAAAGUAGAAGAAGGGCAACGGAAGAGUAAUAAAAGGAAUUAAUAACAACUUGGCGAACUACCCACUUACGACAAAUAUCAGAGCAAAAUGAGGUGAAACAACCGAAGAAGCAUUAAUAACAAGUAGUGAAUUACCGACUUGUGACAAAUAUCAGGGCAAAAUGAAGUGAAACAAUUUAAUACUGCAUCUUGAUGAAACAUGUGGGAAACGUCACGGUUCUACAUUGGAUGACACAAGCACAACUGCGAGAUAAUGGUUGGGUUUCCUUGUUUCCUGCUUCCUAUUUCUCUUCAUCACCCCCGCACAAAACUGCCUAACUGGUGUGAUGGAAUUGUAACUGUCCUUUACUUUUAGUUCGAAAGUGAAGUUGGUUGGAAUUGAAGUAACAUAACAUUUCAAAAAGUAAAGACCCCAUGUAACGUAAAAAGCACUAUCCCAUAAUUCCCAGAUGAUUAUGCAACUUUUCAGACAUGUACACUUAAGGUGUCAACCAUAUAUUUCGAACGGUAGUAAACUCGUCAGAUAAAGUUCCAAAUCAAUACCACACAAAGCUAAUAGUGUUCAUUGGUUAUUAGAAUCAGUGAAAGUAAACGAUUAAACAAGAGGUUACGAGACAAAGAUAGGAAACAAGAGGAAAGAGAUACAAUCAUAUUACGAUAACUUAGACCCUAACAGAACUAAACAAUUUAAAGGAUUUGCAAAAUCAAUAUAUCUUGAAAUUUUUGAAACCGUAACUGAAAGCAGAUUUAGAUGCAAUGUAAGCCUUUCCCAGAUACCAAAUAGUUAUUAGGGUUAGAAAACAUAUAUAAACCACAAAUCUUCUUUUUUGGAAAGCUUAUAAAAAGAAGAUCUUUCGUACUAUUGGAACAUAUGGUAAGGACAUUUAGUUUCUGCUUUAUGAAAUCACCAUAUACCUGGGUUUUGAAGACCCAUUUGCGAUCAUAUCAUCGGUCCAUAAUACAUGGUGAUAUUAAAAUAAAGAUUUCUAAAGUUUGUAAUCCCUAUUGUACCUCACACUCAAACAAUCACUAAUAUGGUAUCGUUAAACUUUCAUUAAACAGCAAAAGGAGUGUACCUUUUUAGGCCGCAAGUGACGGGGGAAUCGAUAUCGGAACAAACAUCUUCGGGGAUACCUGUAGGGUCUGGAAAAGAUAUAUUGCAGAUAAAUGGUGAGAGGAGAGGAUCAGGUGCAGAUUCCUGUGCAUAUGACCUUCCAUUUUUCAGCAGUGCCUUCCCAAGCAUUGCUGAACUACCAGGCCACAAACCGGAUUUUUGAGAUUUUCUCCUGUGCUGAAAGAUAACAGAUGAAUCCUUUAAGGGUCCGACAAUGAUCAACAAAGUUAUUGGCUAAAUUGACUAUUAUGAAUCCCAUGACCCAGUAUAGGUAAUAAUACCUUGAAGGAGCUUGCAUGAUGUACCGUAAAAUGUGCAAUUACAUCUUUCCCCAGAUUCGCAGCGCACAAAGGACAAACCUGCAAUAGUGGGAUUAAAGCAGCCAUCAGGUUCAAAUUCUAACUGAAAUAUCCAUCAAUUUCACACAGCAUCUUUUUUGUCGAAACCUUAAAGGAAUGACUCAAGAAUUCAAUUUUGAUAACAUCUAUCUCCCUUAAAUCGCACUCGACAAAAUAUCAGGUAAAGGAAAGCGCUUACUGCAUUUUUAAAGUUAAAGCAGUGUUCUUCCUCCAAGUGGCUGCAGAGCAAUGGGACUUCAAUAUCCACAUAACAGAAAGGGCAUGGAAAACAAGAUUUUGCAUCGUCAUCUCCUUCAGAAUCUUCCAAAGCCAUAUGAUUAUCUGUUUAACAUAUAUAGAAGAUGGAAGAUCGAUCAAUAGAUAAAUAAAUCGCAGAUGUAUAUAUGUACACGUGUAUAUGCGCACACACGUGGAUUUAACAAGAAGAAAUCAAACGCUUCGAGAAGGUUGAUCUCAUAUUAAAAGAAAGUACUUGUUUCCAUUAAAGCAACAUCUCAAAUGUUCAGCCAUUUAAAUUACGGGAUCAAACACAUGCAGACAAGCACGCAUGCACACACACUCAAACGGACACAAAAAUGACUAUAUUAGAAUGAUAGAACCUAACACGCAGCUAUUACUCCGGCCCCAAGAAAUUACUAUAAGCGAACUCUUUGCCUUGCAUUGGGUGAUCAAGCACGGGAUAUUCAUGAAACAAACACCAUUUGAUUCUUCCCCAAUCGGACAAUAGGCAGAGACUAAGAAAAUAUGAAUGCAUCUUGUUAUCUAUACACUGCAUAAACUGCAAAUGAAUUAACCAGUCUCAACAACCAUCCAAAAGCGGAUUUUUCAUCUUUCUCCAUAUGUUUUUCAAUCGAACCCUCAAAUUUCUCACCUUCACGAAUAACAACACUAGAAGCAUCAAGCUCAGAUUUUCCCUCACCCAAGGCCUUUGACAAAAGGGCUUCUGCUUCCUUCAAUAUCUGCUCUCUCAGUCUCUCCAGAUCUUCCUGAGAACACUCAAGUUCUGAUUUUUCUACAUUUCCCUCUCCGAAAUUUUCGUGCCCAUCAUAUUCUUCACAUUCACUAUAAUUUUCCUCAUUUUCUUCAUCCGCAGUAUAAUUUGUCAUGCUGAUAUAUCCUCUUUAGUCUCUCUUUUGUGGGGUUGAUAAACCCCAAUAUAAUCAAACUUUCUCCACCUAAUUAAUCAAAGCUUCUUAAUUUCCAUGUGGCCUAUGCCAAACCCUAAUUCAAUCAGAAAUUGAGGGGCCCAAAUAAUCACACAAACAGGCAACCCUAAGUCCCUACUGCAAUAUUACAAACAGGGAAAGCUUUUAUGAACAAAUCUAGGAAACUUGAUAAAAUUACCAAUCUAGCAUCAUACGAGAUAUGGAAAAUCUCAGAUUUUCCGGACUUUUUUAUUUUAUUAAAAUGUGAUAUUUUCCCAUAUUUAUAUUUCAGGAUAAAACAUUAUCCGCUUCAAAAUUCAAGCAAAAAUAGAUCAUUUAAACCAGGGUUUAACAAAACAAUUAGUAAAAAACAAUGUGCCAAUUUCUUUCUUAAAUCCAACCAAAGUUUUAACCUUUAAUCCCAACCCAGUUCUAGAAAUCUCUCACACAAGCAUUGCUUUACUCAAACAUAAAAAAUAAAAAAUAAAAAAUAAAAAAUAAAAAAUAAAAAAAACUCAAUCGGUGCAAGUUUUAUUAAAUUUAAGGACCUCAAUUAACGGAUUUUUAGUUCAGGACCAAAUUUAAAAUACGGUGAAAGGAAAAGGACUACUAAAUUUUACUCAAAACAAAAUGUUGAAGCAAAAACAGAAAAUUGAAGUACCAUAGUGAAGGCGAGCAGCAUGAACAGCAGAAAAGCUCUUAGCUGUAUGAACCCUGGAAGCCCACAAGUCAGCGUCCAUGGUGAGCCAACUCUCCGGCGACCCAAGUCAGCUUUUUCCGGCGAGGAACGGUGGAAACGGUCCCCUUGGGAAAUGGGUUGGGAUCAAGAGCUUAAAGUUCGAAGCUUUGAGAGAGAUUUUGGGGUGUGAGUGGUAUGGUGAUGUUUUGCUUACUCACCCUCCUCUCUCAUAUAUUGCUCUGACACUGAGUUUGUUCUGACACACAAAAGAUACUUGAUGAUAGAUGACACGUAGACUUUUUAUUUAUUUAUUACACCAUUGUUUUUAUUUUUUAUUUUUACCACAAUGAUGAAAACCUGUUAAAUUAUUUGUAUAACAAGCACAUUCGAAUUUCAUCAAUAACUAAUUUGAUAUUUAAUUUAAUAAAAUUUAUCGUUUAACAAAAAAAAAUAUUAUACAUGAUUAAUUGCAGUAGCUGCAAUUCUGCUAGUCAAUUGUCAAUCUGUUUGUCAAAGUGCAGAGAAAACCAUGAUUUUAUUCUAUUUUUAUUUAAUUAUUUAAAUAUUAUAUUUGCUUUCAUGCUGCAUUUGACAUGUAUUAAAGCAGGAUUAGUCUAAUUUAAUAAUUAAUGCGAUUGUUUCUUUUUUCUUGGUCAAGUAAUUAAUGUGAUUGUUUAAUGACCACAAGAAAAGAAAAAAGAAAAAAAGGAGUUGGUUUUAUUUUAUAUGACUCGUGUGAAAUAACCUUUCUGCGCAUCACAUGGAAGCUUUUGGCAGGUCUUGAAAGAAGCCAUUGAUGCUGAUGUUGCACAUCUUUUGGGCCCUUUUUCUUAAUUGUGAAUGACGUGAGGUAAUUCGGUGAGAUUUGGAUUCUGGGAGCAAGGCUACAAUACUCUGACGGAUAGUGAUAGUUAUCCGCUUAUUUUUACUUAUCACAUAUUUUUUUUAAUUUUAAUUAUCGGAUGAAAUAAAUUAAAGAAUAUUAUCAAUUAAAAAAUUAACAAAAAUAUAUAAAAAGUAAAAAUAAAUGUCUGAAAUACUACUUAGAGUCCUUAAAUCCGAUUUAAUGGUUGUCUAAUUUCUUUUUACUAACGUUGAAUUGAAUCUAAUGACUCUAAGUAGCAGUACUUAAUAUUUCCACGUAUUAUAGAAUAGAUGUCUUGAAAAUUAUGUUCAUUGUUUAUAAAAUUCAACGUAAUGUUGCUUUAAAUGUGACUCUUAUGAUAUUCAUUUAUUUGGAGUUAGGAAAAUCACGAAUUGAAAUAAUAUUUAUGUUUUAAUAAUUGUACGGAAGGCAAGAUAGGGAACUCUUAGACGAGAUUCGCUUUCAAGAAAUUCAUAUACUAAUUUUGCACCCCAUAAUCUUAAAAAUGUACGUGAAAACAUACUUCACUAAAAUAUAUAUGCGAUAACUUUACUUUCUAAUGCAUCUCCAAUUUUACGUUUAGGAUUUGUCUGAUAACAAAGCGAGCAUGUGCCGCCUUGACAAUUACAAGUUAGGUUAUUUCCAACUUACCUCCAAAUUUGUCGGGGUUUUCGAACUCGUGCCCUAACCAGAAAAUACAAAACACUUAGGUUUUAGGUGAUCAACUUUGAUACACAAAGAUUAAUAAUGCAAAAAAAAGAUGGGGAAACAGAUGGGGGUGACAAGGACAACCUAAUAACCCAAGUGUCCAAGACUCAAAGCAUAGAUAAGCAUGCGAUAACAAGUUGGACAAAAAGUUGCUUUAGUGAGGAGGAUGGUGGUGACUUAGUGAGUGGUUCAUGCAUGAACUUGGACUAGGACUAGGACGGUGCAUUACACCUAGAAAAAGAGCCAAAAAACAAAUGCUCAAAAGAUGGGGUGGGACAACUUCUUCUCUUAAAGGGAUUAGCUCAAUGUUCUAAUUUCUAAAAUAUUCAAACCCACCAAAGGGGAUUUGUAGUUCUCUUUUGUUUUCAAUUUAUAAAAUAAUCAAUAUUUGAGACUAGUUUUCCAUAAGUAUAGUGACAAGUAAUAGUUUGCUUGGCAUGAAAGGAACUUAACAAAAUCCAAAAGGCAUGUGAAAAGGAACUAAGGUCUCGUCUGAUGACUCGACCUGAAUUGAAUUGUCUUAGUUGAAUUAGACUAAUAUAUUAGUCGCUUUUUGGUGAACUUGUAAAUGUUGGAACUGAGCUUAUUAAAUUGGAAAGGAGUCCAAUAUAUUAUGUCUCUCAAGUGUUGUUAGAAGGGUUAGACAUAAUAGGAUUGGCUUGUGCUGAACUCCAAUCUUAAUCCAAUCUUAGUCACCAAGCAAAUACAAUGGAAUCACAAUAUAAUCAGUGGAUAAUUUAGGCUACACAAAAUAACUAAUGUUUGGGAUUUGUUAGUUUUGUUGACUAAGUAAAACAAUAAUCCACUCAAAUAGGAGAUGGAUUAUGAAGACAUUAUUAAUUUACAUAUUAAUAAUGAUAAAUGAGAAAUAUGCUUGGUAUGGUAGACUUGAUCUAACCUAAGAUGCUCCAUCCUAAACCGUAGCAUGACCACUAUAAAUCGGGGAGUCUUAAUGAAACACUCAUGAUACUGUUCACUUUUAACGUUAAUGACAUUUUUACACUAAAAAUUCACUCCUGAUACUAUUCACUUACAACACAUUUUUGUCCUUUUGGUUAAAACUCAAAGUUUUCAAGCCAUUUUCAUAAGUGUUCCUUAUAAAUAAAGGUCUUGCGGAAGGGUUAAAGGCAUCAUAAAAUAGCAGCCUCACACUAGCCAGCCGAAAUUCCUCUUGGGAAUUUAUUCUCCGUCACAAAGUUUUCUUAAAACACUCGGUUCACCAAGGUGGAGGCGGGGACUUAAAGAGGAAACUCUUGGAAGCCACUCUAAGUAGCCAACUCUCCACCCUAUGUCCCAAACCUGUGCAUGAAGGUCUAGCUUGUACAUGUGUCUUCAUUGUUCCUCGCUCGAAGGUUGUAAGAACAAGACGAUCGUUCGACUCAAGGCAUAACUUCUAACUUGAGUAUUCGUAUACAUUUAGGGUGCGUUUGUUGCACCAGACUGUCUCGGACUGGGCUAACUUCAGGGAUUAAGCUAGACUGACUUAGAUUAAACUAAACUGGACUGAUUUAGUAAAGCAUUUGAUGCAUUGUCGGACUAAGAAGCAGGACUAUAAUAUUAUAUUAUUUAAUCUAUAUUUAUUAAUAUUUUAUUUUUAAUUUAAUAUAUCAAUUAAUAUUUUGUAUUACUUUAUCUUUUUCCCUAUUUUUCUAGAACCAUCUUCCUCUCCAAUCUCUUCAUUCAUCUUUGCCCUCUGCUUUGGUUUCUGUUGGUUUGUUUUAGCUUGCCUCGAUGUAGGCUUCUGUGUUCGUUCUGGCAUCUUUGCCCUGGCUUUCAAUCCCAGUUUCUACCAAAAAAAAAUCUCUUCAUUCAUCUUUUUCUCCACCACUCCCUCCCCAUUCUCCUUUUCUCCCAUUUUUGUCCCUCCUUUUCUUUGUACCAGUCUCCUUUCCCUCAAUUUUUUCUCCGGUUUUACUUAUGUACCAGUGUCCCCUCUCCCCUCCCUCCCCUUUUAUUUAUUUUUCUAUUUUCUUCAUAUUUGGUACCUAUAUUUUCUGGACAAAUCAUAGUUGUGCAAGAAAAAUCACUCAAAUUCACUUUACCCGAUGCUAAAGUUUUCAAUCUUGCACCAAUCCUUUGCACAAAAUUUCCCUAACUAUGUUUCCAACCCAACCCUUUGCACCCAAAACUUUUUAAUUUCAAAAUCUCAGGUCACAAUCUCUUAGCAAUGAUGUUGUCGACAGAAGAAUCUGGGUCACCAUGAGCAACAAGGUUGUUGUUGUCCAGCCACCAUGGCUGAUGUCGGUGGUGGAAGAAUCUGGGUCAGUAUCUCUGAUCAAUGAUGCGAAGCAACCCAGCCACCAUGAAUGUUUGAAGCUUCAAUCAAAGAGAGAGGAAAUACAUAAAGAAAGAGAAAAAUGGGGACUGGGUAGGGGCGAAUCAAAGAUGAGGGGGUCUUAGCAGUCCGCUCCUUCUCGAGGGGUCUCACUAAGAGCAACUCCACCCUUGGAGCCAUCCCCCGGCAAUCCACUAUUGAAUCCACCCUAUUGAACAGUAACUGUCUUUAAUGAAUAGUAACUACCAUUAAUGAACAGUAAUUACCUUUUGCAUCUCCACCCUUGGAGCCCUCCCCCUGGCAAUAGGUAAUAAAAUAGUAGUUUUUUUUGUUUGUUUAAAUAAUAUAAAAUAAAAAAAACAGGGAAAUGGGGCUGUAGGGCCUCGGGCUGACACAAAAAACAAUAAACAAAAUGCCUUGGCCCUCGGGCUGCAGGCCUGUCAACUAUCCACCCCCCUUGUGCUCGGGCUCCCACUCUCACUCGGGCCCUCCAUGGUUGGAGAAGAAUCAACAGGCCCUCGGGCCCCUUCCUGCAGCCCGUCCCCCGUCCAAAAACGAAGGCUGGAGUUGCUCUAAGACCACCUAGCGAGUGUUUUGGUCGGAGCGAAUCCUACCUAGUGUCAUUAAACUUUGUCCCUCUUGCAAACAAACACUAGACUACACUAGCUUUUAGUCUAAUCCAAUCCAGUGAGGCCUAGUGAAGCUAAGCAAACACACCCUUAAUACUUACAUAUAUAUCCAACAGGGAUGAACUGAUGUUUUCUUUGAUCAAGUACUAGGAAGGACUUAGCCCAAAGUUUGAGAAAUUGUGAAGAGAUCCAACAUUAGAAUGGGCCACAGGUGCUCAUGGUAGGGGAUAUCACUAGCUUUGACAAAAAAGGAAGCUAGGAAUCUUUUCAUGGAUGUCUAAGACCAUUUUGGACAUAUAGCAGAUACUAUUGUUUUGUGUGGAUUUUAUUUGAUUUGAGGGGCAAGUGGACAAUCAUGAGGGAGAAGUCAUGGCCUUUUGGCAAUUAUAUGUCUGUUAAUUUGUUGACACUAAAGCUUUAAGCUUUCAUAAAGAUACAUUUUUAGUUUUUUUUUUUUUUUUUUAUAUAAUUUACAUGGACCAAUAAAGAUAUGGAUAUGUUCAUUGUCCCUUGAUCUGCUGCCUCAUUUUGUUCAAACUUAAAACAGAAAGAGAGUGAGACUGACAAAAGGCCAAGCUAAAGUCAUUCUAACUAUUUACCUUUUACGAGUAGAGUUGUGAGCAUUACCACCGAUUGAGGGUGAUAAGUAAAAAUACACUCACAAAUAAAUUGUAAUGUAUGGCUUGAAAUUCCCCCAUAUAUUGGUGGGGAGUACAUAGGAAUAGGAAAGUAGUAACAUUUCUGCCAGAUUUCAUGGUAUCAUGAUUCCUCCUCAUUCCUUGCACUUCAAUUAUUCAAUAUUUCCCAUCAUUUAGUUAGUAAGAAAAAAAGAGUAAAGAAAGAUGAAUAUGAUUAUAGUACUCAAGAAAGCUUCAUUAGCAGAUUGAUGGUCAAUAGUCUACCUAUGCUUUUAAAAUUGGGAUGCUAUGCUCAAUCUGUGUAUGGUAAACAAUUUCUACACCAUUUUUUCUCUCCCUUUAUGUACACAUAUGUUUAACAUUUUUCUUUGAUUUUCUUUGGUUUUAUUUGAGGAGCAACUGCUUUGUUGAUUCUUUGUGACCGACAGGUCACCGGUUCGAGUUGUGUAAACAACCUUUUUGCAAAGUAAGGGCAAGACUCCCUCUCCAAUCCUCGCAAAGUGGAAAACCUUGUUGGCUUGUUUCUCGUGUAUAAAAAUGGUCUGAUGAACAGUGGUUCUAACUUCCGGAGGGAACCAGCACCAGCCAUUGUGGUAAAUCAGACAAAUAGGCCCCAAAACCUAGAGGACCAUCACUCAUCAGAUGUCAAACUUGAGUUCCCCUAGCAAUGGAACGUAUGACAUGUCCUUCCCUUUAGGGAUAAUGCUUGCAUCACUGUGUGAAUGCAAAUAUCUCAUCCUUUACAAAUAAGGUAUUUUUACAGUAUACAUUUCAUAUUGGAGCUAUUUAAUUUCUUAAUAUACAUUUGAAGAUUAUGCCUACAAAAAUCAUUCGAAUCAUUUAAAGGCGCUGGUGUGGAAAAUACAUUUUCUUGUAGUGGAAAGCUAUUCAAAACCAGGCAGCACUUCAAAGUUUAUCAGUCGCUUCUGGACUUCUGGGCUGUGCACUCUUCAAUACUAAUAUUACAAACAGAAGUGGAAAUGAGCUUCUUCAAAACUAUUGUUGGGUCUUGCUCCAGUUUUCAUUAGAUUUUUACCAAAACAUAUGAACACCGUACUAUUUUUGGUCGCGGCAGAGAUACAUAUAACUAAAUUACAUGAAUAUAUAUACCAUAUAGGCUAGUAAUUUGAUAUAUUUGAAAUCUAGCUUAAAUCCAACCCUAAGAGAAUGCUAAAGCUAUUAAUUCUUAUUCUACAUACACACACACACACAUAUAUAUAUAUGACUGCAUAGUGCAUAUAUAUAGCAACUGCAAAGACAUAUAUAAUUGAGACUAGAUCUUUUCAUUACACAUACAUACUACAUUAAAUCUUACAAGAGAAUGAAAUAUGAGAGCAUGACAGCAUCAUCAUAUAUAGAAUAUAUUCUGCAUAAACUCAAAACGAAAAAACCUAAAAAACUAGAAAUCAAAAGGAAAAAAGAAAAGAAAGAAAUAAAAUAUGGUGAUUGAUCGGACCAGGAGAGCUUCAUUCCCCCGUUACUGGAUGCUAUAUAACCAUUAUAUCACUCAUGGCUUGGAGAGACCCCAAGGCUCUUUAAAUGACAGUUCCAAGAAACACCCAUCUCUUGAAAUUGAGGGAGAUAUUAACCCUAAUUUGGUUUCAGUACUGCACUGGAGCACCAAAUAUUUCGGAAACAGUUCCAACAUCGUGAUCAUGGAGAGAGAAGAUGUACAGUCGAGUGAGAGUAAGAAAGAAGGCAGCAGAGUUAGAGAAACUCAUAGAAUAUAUUCACAUGGUACACACACAUAUAUAUAUAUAGAUGGAUAUAUAAAUAGCUAUAUCUAGAAUGUUAUAUAUAUAGAGCUUUAUAUCAGGGAGAGAGAGAGAGAGAGGUGAAAUAUUGUGAAGCACGCAUAGUGUGGACUGUGGAAGUGUGGAGACCUAAUCUUAUAUUCCCGCAUGCAGGUUUCUUCCCUUUAAGAACAGUGCUAUAGGGCACGUUUCCACAGGGAAAAGGAACACCCAACAAACAAAAAAGGGGACGACACACUCACACAGUGAUCACUGUGGACUGUGGAGGCAAAUGUGUGUGUUUAAUUUUUAUGGUGGUUACAUUUUUUGUGAAGGCAAAGCAAAGUCGCAAACUUAAAGCAUGAUAUAUUGGUGCCCGAAAGGUGGGGCUAGCUAGCUCCCUAACCUUUGAAAAAGGGUCUUUAUCUAUGUAUAGGUGUUUGAAUUUUUGGCUCUCUCCCCCUUUUAUCUUUUGGUCGGUUCAUAUCGAAAAGGGUUAUAAUUUUCUUUUUGUGUUGCCUUUCAUAUGCUUUUGUUGUUUGAUUUAGGUUUACUUUAUUUUCAACAUCUUAUGAGAUUAAGUUAAAUAUCAGAAAUUUAGCGUAGUUGGUGAAGUUGGUUUGACCAUCAAAACUUCGUUAACACACAUUUAGAAAGACUAAUUAUGUCUUAUCAUGUGCAAAUUGGUUGUUAACAUUCUUCUUCCCCAACCUGCAUUUCAGUAUAAGAAUUAUUGUAUAGUGGGGUUAACUGCAUUGUUAAGUGUAAAUAUAUCAUCAUCUUAUGAUAUUGAUAGAUGUAACGAUUUUACCGUUGAUAAGAUUGUGCCGAACUUGGUGGCAUACGUAAACUUGUAAGUUGUAACUAAGUAGGUCAUUAAAGUGCUUUUUGGGUGAUAAAACCUAAGCCAAAUGAGAUAUGUUGUAAGAAAUCUGUUUGAAAUCUCUUCGAUUCCAGAUUAACAAAAUACAUUCUAAGUUUCUAACAGUCAGCCACCAAUUAAUUCUGAGCCACAAAACCCUUGUUUCCGUUCGUCAGAUCAAAUUGGUUUCUGCAUGAAAGUGUUCACUUUGAUUUUAGCUAUAACAUAUCCAAAAAUCAGAACAUCCAACUCAUGUCCAGCUCCAGGCGUCGAUCUGGGCAGAGGCUGUGCGCGGGUUACUCGGAUCUUAUCGUUUCAGGGUGUGAGUGAAGAAUGAAGAUGCAAAGGAAGACAACAUAGAAUCCAUGAAAAAUUUAGUCAAACCAUGAAGCGGUAAGUUUAGGAUUAAAAUUUACAGAUUUUACUUUCAUAUUUCAUGUCGGAAGUUGAUGAGUAACUAGUUCGUGAUGAGUAAAGGGGUUCAUGCAAUUGAAAGAUUCCAUGUGUCAUGCUAAAUAUUUGGUUGUCUUCACAUUGCAUCUUUGAUAUAAUACACACACACACACACACACAUGAAAAAUUAUAGAUAUUGCUUUAAACAUGUUCGCAUGUAAAAAUUAAAUUAAGAACCAAAAUUUCAUUUUUUUCCUCAAUGAAAUGAGAGAAACUCCGAUUGACUUGAUCCCUUUAUCGAGUAAAUAGGCAAUCUAACUCGAACAGUUGAUGCAACCAAUCUUAAGCUUAGUCAUGUCUUGGGGUUUGUUUUAGGAGUGUGACAUGUGAGGUCAUCUUAAGCAUGUCCUAAGCUAUUUUGGUUAGUAGGACAUCCCAUCCUCUAUGAGUGAGUAGCAAACAAACAAACAGUUGAUAAAAAAGGUGAGUUAUCCUCACGCAUCUUUUUUACUUCGUACACACCAUCUUAAUUUGUAGUCAUCAGAUUGAUUGAAUUAAAGAAUAUCAAAUAAUAGAAAUUAAUUAGAAGUGUGCGAAAAGUAAAAAAAUUGUGUGUGGAUAACACACUAUAUAUGCAUAUACAAGCCUUUCUUAACAGUGAUUAUGCUCCAUUGUUCAUGGACCACUAAUAGUCAGUAUGGUCACUGUAUAUAUUGGUGCUCUGUUAUCCCACUCCGUGAACAAUGAAACGGGAUCCUGUUAAAAAGCUAGUAGUGUGUGUGUGUAUAUAUAUAUAAAUAUGGGAGGUUCAAUAUUUUCUUAUGUGAAACUCCCUUUGUUAGUUAGUGUGUUUAUAUUUGUCUUGACAAUCGCUUGAAACACACCCCUCUAAAGAUAAGAACAACCAUUUUGUAAGUUUGCUAUUGAAAAACGAAUAAAAGGACCACCGUUGUUAUGUUGCGUAAGUUCUCUCCUCGACCCUUUCCGCAGUUCCACCAUCCUCUUUUCUCCUAUAAAACCCCGCCACGUGCAUUCAGAUUCUGCACAACUUCCCUCACGCCCGUUGAUUAAAAAGGGCGAGUUCCCGGUUCACUUUAUAUCCGACACCGACUUGGCGUGAAAGAAAAUCAAGGUGCGGCCCAGGUGAAGAAAUUUUUCAUUGUGACAAAAUAACAAGGGAUACAUCCCGUAUUUUUAUAUAAAUGAUGGAAAAUUUAAUUUUUUAACAUACAUAUCUCACUAUUUGUAUAGUGACACGUGGUAUAUUAUCCCGUGUUCUGGUCACAAUGAAAAAUUUCUCGCCUAGGUGACCAUCCCUACAGCAUUGGCGGGUCCCUGCUUGUGAAGGUCUUAUAUAAAAGUGAGAAAUUUACACAAAUGGAACGCAAACUUUUCAAUUUCUAUGUUUACCUCUGAAACUAGAAAAGGUUACAAUUGACCACUUUUACUUAAUACGUUUUGACAAUAUCUCACUCGCGUCCAAUUCUAUGCCAAAAUUAACUUGUGUCCAAUUCAACCCACUAUUUCGUUACGUAUAAUCAUGCGACAUGUAUGAUUCAAUUGUUUGAAGUCGAUUUUGGUUAAGGAAGAUAACGUAUAUCUGAUUGGUCCUCAAUUCUACGGGAUAAGUGCAAAAUGAAUGUAGAUGGUAUGUUGUCAAAAUAACUGAAUAAGGAAAUUGACCUUCAAAGUUGGUUUGUGCAAGUAACGUCCUCGAAUUUUACAGGAUGAGUGCACAUGAAUGUGAGUGGUAUAUUGUCAAAGUAACUGAAGUCUGGUCAUUGCAUAAGAGCAACUCCAGCGUUGCUGGUUGCUCGGGGGACAGGCGAAGAGAAAGGGCCCGACGGGCGGGGGAUGGGGCUCCAGCGUAUGCGAGCUCGAGGGACAGGCCUGGCAGGGAUUGCCAGCCCAAGAGCCUGAGGUCUGUGUGAUGUAUGGCUGAUGAGCAGCAUCGAUGCAUGCGCUCAGUGUUCUUUGCAUCCUCCUUCCUCCUCGUCCUCCUUCCCCUCCAGCUUUGACAAGGAUAAUAACGGAUCUGGGUCGUUCGAUGGAGAGCACAAAAUCGCGAGGGUUGUAGACGGAGAUCGGAAACCCUUUCUCGACGAUGUUGAGGGCGAGAUUUUGCCCCAUGACGGCGAGGCCUGCCAAGCCUAUGUGUGACAGAGUUGGUGAAGCUUCCAUGGCUGCUGCUGAGAGAGAGAGAGAGAGAGAGAGAGAGAGGACUGGUCAAAAUUAGGGAAAAAUAAUAAUAUUUUAUGGAUUGGUUGAGAAAAAAAUAUUAAUAUUUUAUUACCAAUUGCCAGGGGGAGGGUUCCAAGGGUGAAGAUGCAAAUGACAAUUACUGUUUAUUAAGAGCAGUUACUGUUCACUAGGUGGAUUGAAUAGUGGAUUGAAUAGUGGAUUGCCAUGGGAGAGGGCUCCAAGGGUGGAGUUGCUUUAAAAGUGGAAAAGUAUGUUCCAGUUUUGCAAUUUUCUCAUAAAAGUACCAUGGUUCCUAUUUGGGUUGUGAAAAGCCCAUGGAUUCCCAUUUGGGCCCAUCAACAUAUGACCCAAGAGAAAAUAAUCUACAAGUCCACAUUUGACCCAAUUAUAUUCGGGUUGACCCGAAAAAUGCUUAAACCCUGGAAAUCCCCUGUCAAUGUCUCUGUAGGUGGUCUCAGUGAGAAGUUUGGCAGCCAUGAAUCGAGCAAUGGCGGCGUUUCUCAGUACCCGCCGAUUCGCCAACUCGCUGGCGGCGGCUCAGUUCGACGUCAUAACUCGGCCGCUUUAUUCUCAGGAGACUCAUUCCUCUCACCUCUCUCACUUCCUUUCAAAUCAAUCCCACUGUCAUUCCCAUUUCCUCAACACCCAUCAAAAGCUCUUCUUUUCCUCGACCCCCAACUCGGUCCUGCAACUCGUUCUGGCCAACAAGUGGUCUUCCGAGUUGGAGACCGAGUUAUCCGAGUCGUACCCAUCACUCACCCACGAUGUAGUAAUCUAUGUUUUGAAGAAAUUGGAUAAAGAUCCACGAAGGGCUUGGGAUUUUUUCAAUUGGGUCUGCGAGAAGAACGGAUUUAGGCCGAGUUCUUCGGUGUUUAGCUUAAUCCUUAGGGUUUUAGUGCAUAAGAGUUCGAUGAUGGAGUUUUGGAUUGCUUUGAGGAAGAUGAAAGAGCAAGGGUUUUUCAUUGAUGAGCAAACUUAUGUGGCAAUUAGAGAACAGUUGAAAACGGGGAGGAUGGAUAGUGAUGUCGUGGCUUUCAAGCAUUUUUACGAGAGGAUGAUCGAAGAUAACGCGGCGGAUGAUGUUGUGAAGAGCGUGGUGGAUGUUGUUUCGGGGUCGGAUUGGAGUGAUGGGGUUGAAAAAGAAUUGGGGGAGCUCAAAAUUGUGUUAUCUGAUAAUUUUGUCAUUAGGGUUUUGAGGGAUCUGAGGAAUUACCCGUUGAAAGCGUUGAGGUUUUUCCGUUGGGCUGGUCAGUGUUCUGGUUAUGAACACAAUACAAUUACAUACAAUGCAGUUGCGAGGGUUCUUGCGCGGGCUGAUUCGAUAGGGGAGUUUUGGAGUGUGAUUGAGGGGAUGAAGGGCGCGGGUCAUGAGCUGGAUUUGGACACCUAUAUAAAGAUUACGCGGCAGUUUCAGAAGAGCAGGAUGAUCGAGGACGCGGUGAAGCUGUAUGAGCUCAUGAUGGACGGCCCUUAUAAACCCUCUGCUCAGGAUUGCAGCAUGCUUUUAAGGAGCAUCUCAGGGAGUGAUAAACCGGAUCUGGAUAUGGUGUUUAGAGUUGCAAAGAAGUUCGAGUCUGCAGGGAAUACACUAUCCAAGGCUGUUUACGAUGGGAUUCACAGGUCUUUGACAGGCGCAGGCAGAUUUGAUCAAGCGGAGGAAGUUAUGAAGGCUAUGAGAAAUGCAGGGUACGAGCCGGACAACAUUACAUACAGCCAAUUGGUCUUUGGACUUUGUAAGGCCAAGAGACUUGAAGAAGCCUGCAAUGUGUUGGACGAAAUGGAAGCAGAUGGAUGCGUUCCUGAUAUCAAGACUUGGACCAUUUUGAUUCAAGGGCAUUGCGCCGCUGAUGAAGUUGACACAGCGCUGAUUUGUUUUGCAAAGAUGAUGGAAAAAGGUUGUGAUGCGGAUGCUGAUCUGAUGGACGUCUUGAUAGAGGGGUUCCUUAAGCAGAGGAAGAUAGAUGGUGCAUAUAAACUGCUUGACGAAAUGGUGAAAAAAGCUCGUUUGGUACCAUGGCAAGCCACAUACAAAAAUCUUAUCGAAAAAUUGUUGGAGGUCAGAAAACUCGAAGAAGCAUUCAAACUUCUUCAAUUGAUGAAGAAACAGAACUACCCACCUUACUCAGAACCGUUUGUCCAGUAUAUAUCGAAGUUUGGUUCUGUGGAGGAUGCUGCAGACUUUUUCAAAGCAUUGACUGUUAAGGAACAUCCGUCAUCUGCCGCGUAUGUCCAUGUUUUGAAAGCAUUCUUUAAGGAAGGUAGAUACUCCGAGGCGAAAGAUCUGCUUCAUAAAUGCCCUCAUCAUAUCCGAAAGCAUGGUGAAAUUUGCAAACUUUUUGGUUCUACGGCAGGCAAAGAAGCAGACUACUACAGAAGAUGAAGGCAAGCGUAAGCAGACUACUAACGAAGAUAAGCAGAAGCGGACUACUACUUGUACGUUGAUAGUUUCUUGUAGUAAUAUCAUGGCUCAACCCCAUGAAUUUUGUAACCUCUACCCAUGAAUUAACUACAUGUUUUGCACCAAGAAAUCGAACCAUGCCUGUUUUUGAAUGAUUUGUUCUUUGGUACAGAUACUUGUAUGACAUCUUCAUCACAAAGGGAAGCUACUAAUGCUUUAAAAUGAAUUAUAUUUUGCGCCAUCGUUUUUUGGUACAAAUACAUUGUUCACAAGAUGUGAAAACUAUUCAUUCAGUCAGGUAGCUCAGAACGCUCCCUCCUAGCCGUAUCCGUCAUUGUACUCAAGAACUUGCUAGGGUCACAACCGUAAGGAUUUGCGAGAGCCGCAUGUGCUAGGAACGGAAGCUUUCUUAAUGAUCGCCCGCUCAAUCCCUAAAGAAACCAGAGACAAAAUCAACUAUCAGAUAGACUGAAAGGGGCCUAACUUACAACUUUAGAAGGCAAGGAAUUGAAGAAUCCGUUGCUGACCUCGCAUGCUUCUGCAGUUUCGAACAAUUGUUUACACAGGUGUAGUGGUGUCUGGGCAUCUUGUACCUCAGGCAUAUUCAGUUUCUCUUUCAAGCUAGCAAAGUUAGGAAGCAUGCUUUCACAAUCCUACAAUUUACAAAGUUCAUUACGAAUGGCUUGGAACUUUCCCACAUACUCGGGGGAGAAUUUUAAUAUGUUAAAAACUUUAAUUACAGUAUCAGAACCGAACAAGGUUAGCCAGACAAAUGCACCUCUAGAUGUGAUAAGAUUCCUGUUCGUAUAAGUUCAUGCAAGCAGGAUCUUAGGAUUUCAUAACGCGCUUGCAAAGUUGGGGGACCAACAUAUGCUUUGAUAUCAGCUCGAUCAACAAACGCAAUAUCUGCAACCCAAGAAAUGGUAAAUCCAUACAUACUAGGAUGGUGAAAUUUAAUUUUUUCCCUUCCACAGAGAAAAUAAAGUAUUGGUCUUUCUCUAGCUUGUCAGAACCACAGAGACCUCGUGACUGACAAGAGAGACUGAUAGAAAGAGAACCAAAAAGAGACUAAACUCUUUCAUACAAGGGAAAAGUACAUUAACUCUUGGCAAACUACAGCUUACCUCUCCAAUCUACAGAUGAAAAAUUGCAAGCAAACGUAGAGAAGUUCAUUUUACAUGUUAAGAAAUUAAUUUGUAGCCUUACCAAUAGCAGCAGUUAUGUUCGAUGUUGUCAGAAUUAUAACAUUUGGUGCUGAUUUCAAUUUAUCCAGCUGAGUUAGCAGCGCAUUCACUACCUGGCAUGUCAACGUUUAGCUGUUAAUUGAACUAAAACUGAGCUAUACUGAACUGUAUCGAAAAUGUUAAAUGUAAAUUAUCUGCAUUAUUCAACCAAAAGGCUUAGAAAGUAGUCUGGAAUAGGAUAAAGGAGAAAGUAUGGUACCCGAAUAGAAUCUGAAGGUUCGGAGCCAGAUAAAGCAGCUUUUCUAGCAGCAGCAAGGCUUUCAACUUCAUCUGCAACAUCAGCAUAUAUUCAUGAAUUAUAAUCCAAAUGGAAGAUAUAUUAUCAUAAAAUGAAAACUCACAAUGAAAAUAAUCUCACCAAUCAAAACAAAUACCAGAUUGUUUUCCUCCUCAACCAUCUCCUGAAUUUUUGAGAAAAGCUUCGCAACCUACGAUUGAGAAAUACUUUUAAUGAAAACAGAGAACUGCAUGUGCCAAAUCCAACUCCUGUUUACAAAGAGCAAAAGCAUCUUUUAGGACUUGCAGUAUCAAUGACAUACCAACUUGCCACUCUCAGAGAACCAUUUACUGAAUAAAGAAUGUGCAUUAACUUCAAUCAGCUGGCAUUGCGGGUACCUGCAAAGAAUAAAAUACUGAAUCUGGGAAUCUACACGGACGCACAUCCAUUUUAGUGAUGCAUAUUCAUCUGAACAAGACAAUACAUCAACAAACCUGGAGUUAAAUCGAAUAGAAAGUUUUUGAGCCAGUGCUUUGCACAAAGAAGUUUUACCAGUCCCUGGAGGUCCGUGUAAAAGAACAAUGCUGCAAAGAGAUAAAAACAAUCAUAUAGGUGCCAAAAAGCAAUUCUUCAGCAAUAAAAGAAAUAACAAGCAUAUGUGUAUAACUGUACAUAGAUGAAAUCAACAAACAAUUCCUUACCGAUUCCAUGACACAAGGAAAGGAUUGACACCCUUUUCAGUAAAAAGCAAUGCACUAGCCGCAUAACGCAGCAACCUUUGCUUGAGACCAGAUUCAUAAAUUAGGCUGCAAAAGUAGAUGAGCACUGAGCACGUUACAUUAUCAGUUGAUUUCAAACUACAAAGGAGAAGAAAAUUAGAGAAGUUGCAAACUAACCUUUCCCACAUGCCAUCGAAUUCCUUUGCAGGAAGGAUCCAUUCGUUGAAGGUGGAAGGUUGUCCAUCCCCACUUACAUCCUCACAUGCUCCCUCUUCGCUAAGCUAACGAGCACAUACAAGCAAGAAAUCAACACUUGAAUAGAUAUCGAGUCCCAAAGUAGUCCAGAUGGUACGCCUAUUACCUGGAAAACAUGCACAACAGGCUUCACUUGCCAGAACAAAAGGAUCUCACGGUUCUGCACCCACUCAUCUACAAAAACAAACAGUUCAAGCAUCAGAACCGGCAAAUAUCUUAAGACUGCAUCCUCCUCCUCCUUUUUGUAGUACGUAAAGUAUUACAAAUUUUGUGCUGUCAGAUUUCCGUUUUAUCAGAUGAAAAGUUGCAGUAUUGAUUAUAGCUGACCAUCAAGUUUCAAAAUUUCUUCACUUUGCCUUUAAAAAAAAUAACCCGUGACUAGUUCAAAGAUAAAAAAGAAUACCCGUAUCGCAAAUACAGAUACUUUGCACAUUUUCUGUUAGAAACCGAUCAUCAAGUGGCACCGGCACGGGUCCAUCAGAAUAGCUCAAACUCCUCUUUUCAAGCAUUCUAAGCAUUUGACAAAAGAAGAAGAAGAAAAAGAAACCAAAAGCACAUUAUGUUAAUCCUCAGCACUGAUUGCCCAACUUUUCCAAACCGUUAAGCUAAGCAGGCAUUUCAUCAAACACAUAAGACCCAAUUGAGAAACAACUGAAAAAUCAAAAUUGAUGAUUCUAAUUAACGAAUUUAACAGCACACCUCUCAACGGCAGACUGCACGUCGUUGGCCCGAGCUGUGCUGGAGGGCUUGAGGCUGACUUCAACUGAAACCCACAAUCAAUUUCUCUUAAAGAAAGUAAAUUUACAACUAAAUCAUCAACACAGCCUCAAAUUGGAACAAAUUGGCUCAAAAACUAAGAGCAACAACUAAUUGAAGGCAAAAACGACGCCGUAAGCACCUGAAACCGGGACUUUGUCUUGGAGAAGAAUGGGAGAAGGAGCUGAGUCUAUUGUGACGCUGCCGUUUUGGUCGGCGAUGCCGGCGUCUUGGGGGUUUUGCAUAGAGACCUCCAUGGGACUGGGAGCGCUCAUUUUUUUGGGGUUUAGGGUUUAGGGGGGCUAUGAAGUGGAAAGCAUCAGAUAGCUGAGAGCAGCUUGGAGAAUGGAGGAGAUGAGUGAAACCCUAGACCCCAACAGAAAUCUGGGAAAUUGUUCUUCGAAAUAAGCGGGAAAAUUUGAAGGAUUAUACUUCUGUGAUUUUGAAAUAAGGCACGUUGUUUUAAUUUUCUCAUAUUGCUCUUUACCGUUUUGAAUUGUUUGAAUUUCACUAAAUUAAUGAUAUAGUGAGCAUAAAAUUCGUAACAGGAUUGAUAUAUAAGCCACAUUUACAUCAUAUUCAUCAUUAAAAAACUCAUCACUUCAAUUAGAAAUUCAAAUCUAUCAAAAGUGAAAAUUGAUAAAAUUUUAAGAACUUAGGAGAUAAUAUGAGAAAAUUGAAAUCUCAUGACCUGUUUUAAAUCACUUCAAACUUUGAGGAUGCAAAAUGUAGUUAGUCUAUAUAUUUUUUUCUUCGCUCAACAAAUGUGAAUGAUUGUUCCCUUUAGGAAUAAGUUAUAUGUUUUUUUUUAAAAAAAAGGUAAAAUAUGCUUUUGUUUACAUGCGGAAAAUCUACAAUAAAAUAAAAUGAGUUGAGAUUUGAAGAACAUAUUGUACAUCUUCAUCACAUUUAUCUGCUCCAUAGAUAUACCAAUGCACUUAAAUCACGAGAUAUUGUAGCCACACUCGUUGUGAUAUGAAUGACAUAUUUCGACAAUUAACUUUAAUUUGCUACAUUUUAUCAUCCAAAGAAUACAUUUGUGCUAAAAGAAUCAAAUGUCCUCACUUCCGUAAUAAUUUAUGUAAAAAAAAAAAAAUUAAAUGUGUGUGAAGAAAAUUGAGAUUUCAUCAUAAAAUCAAUUGGUAAUAUAGAAAGUAACUCAAUUACUUAUAAGCACAUGCAAAGAUUUUUUUUUUCUUUUUCCAGGAUGUGAGAUUAAUAUUCUCAACAAUGUGUCACAUGCCCUCAAUUUUAGAGUACUUUUGUCAAGUAAUGUCUCUCUUGAUGUCUAUAACAAAAAUAAGACUUUUAAGUAAGGGUGCGACUCAGAGAGGUUGACGCAGAUUUGCCAGUCACCGCAACCCCAACUUUACCUUCACAAUUUUGAGAUUGGGUUUCAAUCGGGUUAGGUUAGGCUCACUUGGGUUGGGCUAGAGUUGCACAAUUUUACUGAGCUCAAUCAUGUAACAUCUUGUUUGCAAGAUUUUUUCAGAAAUUUGAGCCGAAUAACGCGAAUACUAGUUAAAAUUUGAACUCGAAAUUAUGCCAAAAGUUUGAUUCACGCUAUUCACUUAAAAAGUACUUACUUCUAUGACAACAUCAAUGAGGCAGCCCAGCCCAUUUUUCAUGCCCAUUUCCCGAUCUGUAUGUGUUCACCUCACAAGCUUGUGAAAGACAAAAUUCUUACGCCCACAAAAAAGGAUAGGGUUGCCUAAACUUAUCUCUGUUUGACUACCAAUUUGUGAGGCUCUAAGUUGCUCAAAGAUAACAUGCAUGGCCCAUACAAGACUUUGUUAGAGCAAAAAACAACUCACCAUGAAGCAAAAGUUACAGCUUAAAGAUGACAGAGAACUUGAAAUCCUCAAGGCUGUGGCACAAGCUUGGUACAGCCACUCCGGCCGCUCUCAGCUCAUGUCCGAAUUUGACACCCGCCCGAGAAAUUACAACGGCAAAUCGCCAUCCCGGUUCAAGCUUGAAGCAAUGAGAAAAUCAUCAUCAGCUGGUGAUACAAAAUGGGAUUUCGGGCAGUCACUAUGGGAUGCUUAUGAGAUUGUGGCCGUUUCGAAAAGGUUAGAGACAGGGCUAGUCCUUGAUGAGUUGGAGAGUGUGGCACGAGUCCGUCAGAGGCGUAGGGAGAGCAAGCACAGCCUUAGAAGUUUAUUCAAUAAAAUAUCUUCAAGAAGAUUGGAUGAGGCUAAUGUUCCCCCAGAUAACGAUCCAUAAUUCGUGGCCUUGUUUAUUUUUUGCAGGUUAACAUAUUUUUUUCUCCGAAUAUCUACGAAUUUUGACACUAGGAUUACAUUAAAAAAAAGGAGAAAGGUCUGAAUUAUAUGUGCGUUGUUUCUUUUUUGUGUGAAGAAAUUGUUAUCUUUCAAUCUUCAUUUGCUUAGUUGGAGAUCAAAAUCUGUGUUAAGCUAAAGUAGUACUGCACAUCGUAACUUUUGGCAAGCGAAAGGUGUAUCGCGGUAUGUUACCAACAAUUGGUUUCGAUUGAUUUCUGCAAUGAUAUAUAAAAGUUCUAUGUUGGAGAACCAAACUAAGUUCUGCAGAUGGCGUAAGACAUGAGGUAGAGCAGGAUUUUACUAGAUGUUUUCGCCCGUCUUGCGGAAAAAAAACCAAGGGUUAGCAUUUAGCAUCAGUUCUUUUACUGUCAAUUCUCAAAACCAUCACAAAGUCUUACACGUUUACUUGCUGCAGGAGUAAAUAUCACACACACCGCUGCUGCUGCAGUCUUGUACCAAUAAGUAAAGAUUAAUAACUGAGACAAAAAAAGAAAAAGAAAAACUAAUAACACGAGAAUAACAAUAAGUAAUAAUAACUUGUUUAGUUAGGAAGUGAAAUACAUUAAACAUGACAGUGGCAUCCUAUUAAGAGCUUAAUUAAGGAAGUUCAUCAGAAUGGAUAAUUGCAGGCACUUUAUUUAUACAAGUCAUGGGUUGCUUAAAGUUUGCCCGCCAAUCAUCCUUGUCAAGAACUCUCCGGCACCUUAGCGUGGUUUGAAGGUCCUCCACUUGAAGAGCUCAAACCCCUUGUGCUUCUGCUCGAUGUAGCCAUCGGCCUCAACAUCAAUAGUUUCCUCAGACACGACACAGUUCCCCUUUUUGUCGCACUCCGUGACUGUCUUAGUCACUUCAACCGUCUUGUGAACUUCCGGCAUGGACUGCUGGUUCUGCUGACGCUGUUCGUAGUACUGACCGCCAUAGCUCUCUCUCCCAGGGGCCUGGUUGCCGAAUAGGACUUGGCCAUGAGGGACAUCAGUGAGGACACUAGGGGUUCUUGCCAUCCUAUGCACAUGGGAGUAAUAGUCGUUCCCAUUUUGGUGCCUGGUUGGGUAGUCGUAGCUUCUCCUCAUUUUUAUUUUUUUUUGGCAAUCACAAAUUCACAAGUACCUUGAACUUGAAGCAUUAGGAGGAUGCAAAAGCUUCAAUUUAUAGGAAAAUUGGUUUGGCCUAUAUUCUAAAAUGAUAAGGGUGGCAUCUAGUUCUGCUGAUGUGGUUCUAAAAAUCUCCACCUAUCACCGCUUGGGCCUUGCCUAAGCGCUAGGUGGUUGGUCAUCGUCCUGAUUAAUGCUUAGACAUUUGAAAAUUAAGAAAUGGCGCCUAGACCUGUUGAGGCACCUACCUAGACCACCUAGAGAUCCGCCUAGGUCACGGCUCACUUAGACAGAAAAUAUAUCACUUUCAUUUUGCAUUUUAUUUUUUCAAUAAAUUGUAAGAAACUUGUUGCAUGCUUAAAUAAACACACAUUAUAUCCUUGUUUCCCAUAUUUUCAUUAUGCUCCAAUACUUCAUAAUAUAUAUAUAUAUAUGUCAUUUUAUUUUGUAGUUUAUGAUGAAAUUAUAUAUAUUUUAAGUAUAAGUAGACACUUAUUUACACAAAAUAUAAUAGAUUUACUUAAAUUCGUCUAGUCUGCCUAGGCUCCGUCUAGCCGCCUAGGCACUAGGCUCCAUCUCGCCGCUCGACUAGCGCCUUCUAGAACCUUGCGUAGAAUAGAUGGUUGAGUGGAUUGAAAAUGAAAUAGACCUAAGGAAGACAAAAGGACACAGUGGAAAUUUACAUAUUUGUUGUCCGAGCUACGUUUUGGGUGCAUUGAAGACGGAAUAGAAUGAAGGAAGACAAAAAGACGCAGCGAAAAUUUACAUAUUUAGCCAUUCAAGAUCGUCUAAACUUCCAAAACAGCAUUUUAAAGUUUGUAAUAAAAUUCAAACUUUCGAUUUUCCAUCCAGUUUAUGUCAUUUCAAUGUCCCUAAGACCCCUGAACUUCCUCAUGGCUGAGUUUAAGUCUAUUUAAGUCUUUGGCUUUGUAAUAUACAUUUAAGAAUCAAUCAAAUAAACCUUUCAGUUUUCUUCCAAACUCUGGUGGAUUUUUCUUCUAGGGUUUACGUUUGUAUCUCUUGUUAUGUCGGGCCCCUUUCUUUGAUUUCAAAAAUUAGAACAUCGUCUUAGUCAAACAAGAAGGUGGUAUCUAGUUUUACUAACGAGAGUAAGACUAGUUUAUUAAGCUAUUAUGCCAGCCUAUUUUAUUUAAGUUUGAAUUCCUCUCUCUACAAAUAUCGUCUUGUUAAAUAAAUAAAAUAACAUCUAGUUCUGUAGAUGUGAGUUAACCUAAUUUACCAAAACAAUACGUCGACCUCUUUACAUUCAAGUUUAAAUAUUUUUCUCAUGUAAAUUAGAAUACUGUCUUGUCAAAUCAAAAGGGUGUAGCAUCCCGUUCCCUUGUCUAUAUCAAACUGUUGAUUCAAGCAUACGAAUCUAACAUAGCUGGAAAAAGGAGGUGAGCCAGAAAUAAGCCUCAUUUGGAGAAAUUUUUAGUUGUGACAGAAACACAAGUAAUACAUCAUGUGUUUUUAUAUAAGUGAUGAAAUUUUUUAUUUUUUAAGCUAUUAACUUUUUAACACACAUAUUCCACAAUUUAUAUAACAACAUGUGAUAUACCAUCUCGUAUGAUAGUCAUAUUGAAAAAUCCUUCCUUCAUUUGCAAGGUUUCAUAUCUCAAAAGGCAUAAUGUCAGUUUCCAUCCUGAUAUUAAAUUAUUCUCACACUUUUCCAGAAGCUCCUGUUCCUAUAUCAUCCAACAACUUGCUACUCACUCUAAAGAAAAGGAUGAAAUAUCCACAAAUACCUUUUUAAUUUUCGACCGUCGGAUUGAAUAAAUUGAAAAAGAUCAACGGAUAUAAAUUAUCAAAGAAUGUGUGAGAAGUAAAAUAAGAUGUGUGGAUAGCAUACCCUUAAAGAAAACUAGCCUUCAUGCACGCGUUUACGUGCGUACAUAAUUUAAUUUUUGGAAUUACAAUGUGCUAUAUGCGAAUUUUUGUUGAACGUGUUGUCUAUAUUUAAUCUAAGAACGUAACAUGCAAAUAGCUCGAAGACAAGGAAGUGUUUACAUAAAAGAAAUUGAGACAUUAAAAAAACACCCCAAUAUUGAACAAAAUGGCAUUAACAACCUUUACUAUCUCUCCCGCCAAACCCAGCACUGUAGUAACUAUCACGUAUGCGAUCCAAUAUUUUAGUAGAUAAGAUGUUGAAUUUCGCUGUAAUAGUUUCAAUCAUAUAAUGUUUAUAAAAUCUAUUUUCGUGACAUUUUCGCUUCAUCCUAAGCUUCGUAGUGUUAAUGCAAAAAGAUUUUAGAGAUGUUCUGGCCGACAAAAAUCCAUUCUUCCUAGUUUUAAUUGAUUUUCUGUAUUUCAGCUCAAAAGUUCAACCAAAAUUACUUAUGUGACAAAAUAAAUGGUCAAACCGCUUCCAAAUCACUAUGUGCACGCAGAAGAAUCUACGAAAAAUUAACAGUUACACGUAUACAGUCAGCAUUAAUGCAAGGUUUGUCAUCGUUUUUGUGAAGUUACAGCUUCGAAUUUCCGAGCAAAUGGAAGCUGCUUUCGAUGAAGAAUUAAAGUUCGAUUUCCUUUCCAGCAAGCAUCACAAGGAAACCGUACUCGGAAAGUAUUAGCUACCAGACGUUGAAGAAUAUCAAAUCGGGGUUAAGAUCCUACACAUCGACAAGAUCCAGCGGAACAUUGGAUAGAUACAAAGUGGUGUAUUCGACAAUUGAACUUGAUGAAAUUCGACACUGAUCAGCUUAAACAUUUACCAUGUUAACAAAAUGUACUUAAUCGGACUAGUUUCUAGUGUUUACGAUCUUACCUCCGAACGUUAUUGACCCGAAAGACGGAGGUUGUGGAUCUUCUCUUCAGCUACUCAAUAACACUGGUUAAAGCAGAAGAAAAAACCUUUUGGCUUGUCUUCCAUAUCUCCUAAUUUGGGCGUCUCCCCUGAGCCUUCGCGUGCUGCCAUCAAGGCGCUUGUACCAGGAGACUCUGGUGGCAAGACGGUGUUCUCAGUGAACAUCCGUGAUGGAAUGGCAGGUUCGGGAGGAGAUAUGGUGUAAAGAAAAUCGAGUAGCAUUUGAAUUAUUUGGCUGAAAUUAGGCCGAGCAUUCGGGUCCUCCUGCCAGCAUGAAGUUAGGAUGAUGUUCAACUCCUCAGGGAUGUUCUCAGAACUAGGCCUCACAUUCUGAAAUGUUAAGUAUCCAUUAAAUCAUCAGUAAAACUUAGCAGCACCAUAAGCCAUUUGCAGAAUUAAUGGUUGGGAUCGGAAAUAAUGUAUCGAUGAGGAAGAUAUGUUUACUUUAAAUGCAGCUGCAUAUGCUGCCUGGAGAUUUGACAUGCCUUCGAAAGGCAAUUUGUUGUGUAAGAGUUCCCACAAAACAAUUGCGAAGCUAUAUGCGUCCACUUUGUGGUUGUAAUGCUUUCCCUCUCCUUGCCUUAAUGUAACAGUACUGUACAACUGCCAAAAAAUAGGAAAUAUCAACUCAAUAAAGAGGUAUUUUUAAGCGUCAACGGUUCAUAAGAGUGUGGGGGAAGAAGGGUAGUACCUCCGGAGCCAUCCAACGGUAUGUCCCCGUUUCUGCAGUCAUCAUCUCUGUUAAUGACUCUUCUCUUGCCAACCCAAAAUCCGCUAAUUUAACUGUUUUGUGGUCUGCAGUCAAGAGCAAGUUCUCUGCACCCAAAAGUUAAAAAAAAGAUCAAAUAAGUAAGAAUAUGAGCUAAAAGACAAGUAAUUUUUCAAAACCCAACAAAUAAUUCACCCAUCCACAUCAAUGUAUUGAAUCAUACAAUGCAGAUCCGUUGUUAGAUACGUAAAAACAAGGGAAAUCCACGAGUAGAAGUUUUUAUUAAAAAAUGGAACUGGAGAGGACUAAACCGACUAUAAGCGGUGUAUAACCCUCAGUUUGGAGCCCCUCGGGUUCUGUUUUUGAAUAAAAUCUUCUACUCCUUCUUGAAGCGCCAUCUUACUAAAAUUAGUCUGAAGUCGAAUUUGGGAACUUAAACGUAUGACUAUCUACUCUUUUUAAUAUAACAGUACAGUUCAGAAUAAUAAUUCCAGCCUGACGGUAUGGCAGUGA